GAUGGAUACAUACCUUUCUUGCUCUUUUGAAACUUUUUGAGGAGAAUGAGAUGCUCUAUAUUUUCUUUUUCUUUUCUCUCAGGUGGGUAUCUUGUACCCCUAAUUCUACUGUCGGACACUUGUCCAUUUUUACCUCUCGUCUCACUUUUUCUUUUCUUUCGAGGUUCCGGGCACUUGCCCAUUUUUAUUUCCUCGUAUCUUCUCUUUUUUUAGAGUACUCACCUCUUUAAAUAAUGUAGCAAGUGGUAGUAACCGAAAUAUCUUGAGCAUUUAUUUCACAGGGGAAAACAGAAAUAGGACAAUGUUUUUGGCUAUUCUCUCCCGGAUUAGGAGUAGAAUAUUUUUGGGUAAAUCUGGAUAUGGAAAUGAGUGGAUGUAUGUGGAUGCGUACUUCCAGAGUAGAAGCAGCAUGUGUGAGUGAACGUGCAAGUGAAUCUUGAUUUAACCACAUGAUAAGCUCCUAAGGGUCUACACAGCUUGACCACACUUAAUGCUCAUAAGCAGUAAAAAGUAAAUGAAUGGUUCAUAGUCUAAUAAGCAUGUAUAUAUGGCUGUGAUACGAAUUUAAACUCUCAUCAUACAGGAACUCAUCAUGUUAUAUUUUAAAGAUUUUCAAAGAUAAAAUUCUCCAGAAUUAUAGCAUCUCUAGGAACAGAUAAACAGCAGCUCAACCUUCCCAUAUCAUAUCCGUUAACAACUUAGACUUUAGAUCAAGUACUCUUCCCACAAGUUCAGGUUUAGAGCAAAUCUUAAUUAAUAAUAGUCAUGUCUAAACUUGAGAGAGAUUUCAAUUUUGAGAACUAGUCAUGGCAGAGCAACUAUUCAUCAUUUCCAUGUGAGAGCUUAUCAUGAGGGUUCAUAACAAACUUUAUUUAUUUAUUUAUUUAGCAAACUAAGCAAAUAUAUAUAUAUAAGCACAAAAUCUUUAUUUGGGUUUUUAUGAUUAUGCAUCUUUUUAUUAUUUGAGUAAAGUAUAAACAUGAGUAGAACACUUAGCUGGAUAAAUGGGGGUGCUCUCCGCCAAGCUGGAUUUUGACGUAAUUUCUUCUGAUGUAGCUAGCAAGUGGCGGAGGUGUAUUUGAAUGUCGACAGCACCAUGACAGCGAUUAGGAUGUCCUUCGUCUGCUAGUCUUCUUUGAUCCUUGAAUUCAGUGGAGCUCAAAUAGACAACAAAGCUUUGUGGAACUGGUUAAGUGUUAGCAUAAAAAUCUCUUUGCCUUUAUCAUGUUAAGCCUCCUCAAUAAAUGUUACUUUCUUUGGUAGGAUCAUAAAUUUAUUUUUAUAUUUUCAUUUUUAUAGGACAGGAAUAUUUUUAUUUUUACGCCACCAAAUGAAUAUACUUAUGGGUUUUAUGCCACGAGCAUACUUAUAUAGGGCUUACUGUUUUUAACAUUUCUAAUUUCUAUUCAAGAUAGCAUAAUUAACUAACAGGCUAUUUAAGGAAAAUAAAUAAUUUAAGAAAAAAGAAAAUGCAUAAAGGAUAAAUAUGGAUAACUACUGAUUUUACCUUCCGGCGAGGGUUCGAUGUUUUAAGUCUUCUUAACAAGACUUCUCACCAUGUUCAUUCUUUAGUUGCGUCAUUUGAUUCAGGUGUGGACCUUGACGUCUGCACCUCUUGAUACGGUGUCACCCAUGUUCUUCGUUUGCCCAGCAGUUCGAAGUGCGGCAUUGGUAGCAUCCUACUCAGUGUGUUUGUGCUCGUAGAUCUAGGUCCUUCACUUGGUGGAAUUUGGGAGUUGUAAAACUCCACCAUGUUUUGCUCCAAGUGUACCUGCUCAUAGAGACAAGGCAAAGAUCAAGUGCAUGGGCCCUGCUGGUGGAAAACGCCAACAUAACCAAAAGUGUAUUUGUUCUUCUCCAACCUUAAGCACAGUGAGCAAGACAAAGUUGAUGGAUGUUGGGUAUUUUAAACGCAAACAAAAAAAUCCGCAAGCGCACGGAUACCGAUGUAGCUUUCACCCAGAAGUAUUCCAGUGUAUCGAUUUUCCACAGAGAACGUGAGUGUACUAAUUAAGAUCCAAGAUCGCCCAAGGAUAACUAUAUAAUUAUUUUUGGUAGGAAGAGAGGAAGUUUCCUGAGAGUUCUCUAGUUGAUCUAAGAAUCAAGAAUUACUUCAAGAUUAUCUAUAUCGGGACAUCAGAGCACUAACCACAGAAAGAGAUGAGAAGGGGGCUAGGAAGGUCUGACUACGGUCCUACAAACACCGAUCCGAACGUGGUGGAAUACGUCGACCGUUAGGGCUGUCACUACCCUAAGGCUACCACAACAAUCCGCAGGAUUGGGUGCAAUUCCAGGUAAUCGCAAGACUAAACAUCACGUCUAAUCUAUUAAUUACUACUCUAGCGUUAUAAAGACUAGAGCACUUGAUGCAAGCGGGAAUCCAAUAAAUAACUUGAAUGUAAAUAAAAGUAAUUAAAGAACUCAGGAAUUGUGAAUUGAAGAACCUGGAGAACGAUGAAGAACGAACCAGUUGCUGCAAAAGUAUAAUGUUGAGGAAGAUCCGACAGAUCCGGCUCCUCCUCCUCUGCUCUCCUCUUCUCUCACCCUAUUUUCUAGAUUACAACUAGAACUAACUAGAACUAGAACUAGAGGAACUAGAACUAGAACUAGAUGAACUAGAACUAGAUCUAGAUGAACUAGAGGUAGAACUAGAAGAACUAGAGGGAUCCUCUCUACUUGGUUGAAGAAUUGAAACCCUAGCUUUGAUUCUGUAGAAGAGGUAUGAUCUCCAGGGGCCAGGGGAGUCUGGUUUUAUAGUCCCUUCAAGUGAAUCUGGGCCGUCGGAUCAAACCGACAUUGAUCGUGUGGUUUUCCUUGAUCCUUUAGGUCGGUGGAGUGUUGUCCCUGAAUUGGACUCUGUUUGGUCCAGGGGGGAGGGCGGGCGCCCAGUAAGGGAGGGCGGGCGCCCAGUGCCCGGCUCCGUUACAUCUCCCGUUCGGUCCCGUGGCUUCUGGAGUCUUCUAGAUGAUAGAAAAUUGCGCGGCACGUUAAUAUCUCUAUGUAAACCCGACGUGUGGGCCUUUUUUCCGUAUUUCCUGAUAACUCCCUGCAGAAAUAGACAAACACCAAAACUUGUGGAAUUCUGUCAGAUAAAACCCUAAGUCUAGGUGUUGGUUGCAUUUGGAUCCUUUUCUAUGAUUAGUUGAUGGUUAAAUGUGAGCAUUAAGGACCGUCAACAAGCUCCCCCAAGCUUAACCUUUGCUCGUCCCUGAGCAAAGAUGAACUCAAGAGCUUCUGCAGUGGUUUCAUAACUUAAAGAUACACAUGCGUUUAAACAAGAUCUCAUCUCUAGGUUAGGGUAAACUGUUAAGAUUUAAAACUUACUCAUUUUACCUUCCACCAUGGGGCUUGCAACCGUCACUUGUGUCUUGAGCAGUUAAAAGAUAGAACGGUCAAGUCAAGCACCAUGUCUCUUGUUCUUUGAUCAACUAUAGCUCUAGAGUUUUUGCAGAUUUUCAAAUAAAACUCAGAGAUUCCUUGUAUGACUCUCUCUAGUCUCUCAUUUGUGGUAUUUCUGGAUCUUUACCAAGGCAGUAAUGGUAUAUGCCUUCUCUCAAAGUAUGUGGUAUUUGUGGUAUAAGGCAUAGUGACAUUGCCUUCUCUCUCACCCUACUCUAAUAAGGCUUUUGAUAUCUGGAGCUCAGAGGUGGGAGACAGCUAAUACAUACUUACAAGACAUUUAUUGCAUAGUCAAACCAUGGAUCCAAAAGAACAAGUCAAUAAGUCAAAUCAAGAUGUGCAUGUGUGGCGAAUGAAUGGUGUAUGGUGAUGAUGGUGAUAAUAAUGGUGAAAGUCUAAUUCUUCUUAUGCUCUUUUGAGGGGAUACAUACCUUUCUUGCACUUUUGAAACUUUUUGAGGAGAAUGAGAUGCUCUAUAUUAUUAUUUUUUUUUCUUUUCUCUCAGGUGGGUAUCUUGUACCCCUAAUUCUACUGUCGGACACUUGUCCAUUUUUACCUCUCGUCUCACUUUUUCUUCUUUUUUUUCUUUCAAGGUUCCGGGCACUUGCCCCUUUUUAUUUCCUCGUAUUCUUCUUUUUCUUCUCUUUUUUUCUUUAGAGCACUCGUCUCAUGAGAUAAUAUAGCAAGUGGUAGUAACAAGAUAACUUGAGCAUUUAUUUCACAGGGAAAAAAUAAAAAUAUUUUUGGCUAUUCUCUCCCGGAUUAGGAGUAGAAUAUUUUUGGGUGGUUCUGGAGAUGGAAAUGGGUAUAUGUGGAUGGUACUUCCAGAGUAGAAGUAGCAUGUAUGAGUGAACGUGCAAGUGAAUCUUGACUUAACCACAUGACAAGCUCCUAAGGGUCUACACAGCUUGACCACACUCAAUGCUCAUAAGCAGUAAAAAGUAAAUGUGUGGCUCAAAGUCUAGCAAGCAUGUAUAUAUGGCUGUGGUAGGAAUUUAAACUCUCAUCAUACAGGAACUCAUCAUGUGAUAUUUUAAAGAUUUUCAAAGAUAAAAUUCUCCAGAAUUCUAGCAUCUCUAGGAACAGAUAAACAACAGCUCAACCUUCCCAUAUCAUAUCCGUUAACGACUUAGACUUCAGAUCAAGUACUCUUCCCACAAGUUCAGGUUUAGAGCAAAUCUUAAUUAAUAACUGUGAUGCCUAAACUUGAGAGAGAUUUCAAUUUUGAGAACUAGUCAUGGCAGAGCAACUAUUCAUCUUUCCAUGUGAGAGCUUAUCAUGAGGGUUCAUAGCAAAUUUUAUUUAUUUAUUUAUUUAGCAAACUAAGCAAAGAUAUAUAUAUAUGCACAAAAUCUUUAUUUCGGUUUUUAUGAUUAUGCAUCUUUUUAUUAUUUGAGUAAAAUAUAAACGUGAGUGGAAUACUUAGCUGGAUAAAUGGAGGUGCUCUCCCCCAAGCUGAAUUUUGACGUAAUUCCUUUUGAUGUAGCAGGUGGCGGAGGUGUAUUUGAAUGUCGGCAGCACCCUGACAUUGAUUAGGAUGUCCUCCGUCUACUAGUCUUCUUUGAUGCUUUAAUUCUGUGGAGCUCAAAUAGACAACAAAGCUUUGUGGAACUAGUUAAGUGUUAGCAUAAAUAUCUAGCCUUUAUCAUGUUGAGCCUCCUCAAUAAAUGUUACUCUCUUUAGUAGGAUCAUAAAUUUAUUUUUAUAUUUUCAUUUUUAUAGGACAGGAAUAUAUAUAUUUAUUUUUACGCCACCAAAGUAAAUGUACUUAUGGGUUUUAUGCCAUGAGCAUACUCACAUGGGGCUUACUAUUUUUAACAUUUUUAUUUUCUUUUCAAGAUAGCUUGAACCUGAUUAACUAAGCAAACUAUUUUAAAUAAUUGAAAGGAAAAAGAUAACUACCAAGUUUACCUUUUGGCAAGGCGUUCGGUGUUUUUACGUCCUCCGAACGGGACUCUCCGUUUUCUUAGUCGUCCUGGAAUUCGCUGGAUGGCGUAGUCGGUGGUUCCGGCGGUGCCUGCUCUUCGUGUAUAACUAUCUUCUCUCUCUACACCUGCCUCGGUGCUACGGUCUCCUCAGGACAGUUCUAUUCAAGUUGUAUAUCUUCAGACCUUACAACUUCUCCUUCAUAGUCUACCCAUCCGUCCUUGAUGAUUUGCCUCCUCUGGUUGCGGUUGCGUCGUCUUCUUCUUGUCCUGACCUGCUUAGAGUCUUUAACUAUAUAGUUAGAGUCAGUAAAAUAGCGGCGUACCUUCUCAGAGGGGAAAUGCAUGUGGACUUCUCUGGUUCCAAUGUAGAUGAUUGCUUUAACGGUGUUGAGGAACAGUCUUCCAAGGAUGACGGGUGGAUUGUACUCGUCUUCUCCCAUGACAAUAACCUUAAAAUCAUCUGGAGCUGAAUGUAUGUUGGUUGUAGGGGCAUGGUUCCAUGCAGGAGUUGAUAAGUGACUGCGGCCAUUAUGUUGAUGUUAGAUCCGGUGUCGUAGAGUGUCUUCUGAAAAGAAUAUCCAUUGAUUGUGCACUCGAUGCUUGGAACACCAGGGUCGUCCUUCUUGAUCAAGAAAGGUGACUUGAGUUGACGAUCUUGACCUCCUUGAGCUGCAGCGACCAUCUUAGCUGACUCGGUACACAUUUGCUUGUUCCUAUUCCUCCUGUUGGUCCUCUUCCUUGGUUCAUGUCGGGAUUGCUCUGAGAUUUGUAUAGUCUUGUUCUUGAAGGAAAACAUCUCCUUCCUUCCCUUCAUGUAGAAACUGAUCUUGGCAGCACUAGCGUAGAUGAUAGCUCCCGAGGUGUUCAGGAAUGGCCUCCCUAGAAUGAUGGGUGCCCUCUCAUCAGUACCAGUCUCUAUCACUACGAAGUCUGCUGGGACGUACAAGGUACCAACUCGGACGUAGAGGUUCUUCAAUAUUCCCCUAGGCAUAAUGUUGACGCUCGAGCCAAAGUUGUAGAGUGCUUCUAGGAAGUCCACCAUGCCGAUGGAGAUCGGGAUGACGGGGCGUCCUGGAUUGUCUCUCUUGACCGGCAGAAGGUCAGUAAUUACUUCCACAACGGGGUUACUCCAGUAGUUACGUCCUCAAGCAUCUCAGGGCAGUGAUUGCCUGAGUAACCAGUAUCUCUAGUGUGUUUGUGCUCGUAGAUCUAGGUUCUUCACUUGGUGGAGUCUGGGAGUUAUAAAAGUCCUUCAUAUUUUGCUCGAAGUAUACCUGCUCAUAGAGACAAGGCAGAGAUCAAGUGCAUGGGCCCUGUUGGUGGAAAACACCAACAGAACCAAAAGUGUAUUUAUUCUUCUCUAACCUUAAGCAUAGUGAGCAAGACAAAGUUGUUGGAUAAUAAGAUCAUGAGUGUAGCAUUUAAAACAUUUGUCAGAUCAGAUCGCUUAACCUAAUGGAAAGAUAAUCAAUCUAUAUUUAUGUUGUUUUUUAUAUAUCUUCCAUAGAUUGAGUGUGCAAUAUUUUAGUUCAUAUGAUUAGGAGUGUGGGAUCACAAAGGUGGAAGGACUAAACAUAUUGAAUCGAUCGGGUUGGUUAAUCUAGAGUAGUAAAUCAUACAUGUUUGUCUCUUUUAUUCAUGUGAACGCCAGAACCAAGGAGAAGCUUAUAGAAGUGAUAGUCAAGUACCUUAAGAUGUUACCUUACUUGAAGAGUGAUGGUACAGUAUCACCUUGUGGAAGCUUUCCUUUCUUCGCGGUUGUGCAUCGUGUUUGUGGCACCCUCCAUGGAUCAUCUCUUGUGAGCUUUGCAUUCCUUGUGUAAAUUGUUAACCUUCAUGUGUCUCUCUAUUUGUCUCCAAUGUGAGUUUAUCUCAAGACUUCCCAGGUCGAUAUUGAAAGUUUUCCUGCAGGGGUUAGUCCAAUAAAAUAUCCAAUAUCUACUAUAGCAUACUAUCGGCUCAAAAAUCAAUCUAGACACCAUGUCUAAUUUGAUUUAGGAGGGAAUUUUAACCUAAGCAUCAUGCUUAAUUUAAAAUCCUUUGGAAGUAAGAGCAUCAUUCCUAAACUAAGCACCAUGCUUAAUUAAGAGAUAAAUGAAACUACUCCAAACCUAGACAUAUACUAAAGCAAAUAAAGGUAGCAUGAGAGCAUUUAUAGAGAUCUACUCAAGUGGAGAUAAAGUAGUGUGAUUAGUAUUUAACAAAUUGAGCAUGUCUCAAAGGUAGGGACAACCAACAUAGCAACAUGGCAAAGGAUGUUUUUAUGUAAAGUAUUCCCCCAAGCUUGAAUUUUGCAAAAUUCAAGUUUGGAUUAAUUUAAUUCAAUGUUGUAUGAUGAUUGGUUGGACAUACCUUGUGCUUGUCAUUCAUCUGAUCUUCUUGUUCCAAUCCUGGAAUGGUUAGUGACAAGAAUACCCGAAGGAAUUUUUCUACAAUUAUCUUUAUAUGCUCAAUACACAAGGCAAUGUUGCAAAUAAUUAAAAGCUCAUGUUACAAUUUGAUCAGUGCUUGUUUUAGGACACUAAGCUUGUCCUUGGGAAACCAUUAAUUUAAGUCGGCGAAGUGGUUUCCCCUCCAACGCUGACCUAUAUCGAGAUCUGCAAUAUUUAAUAUAGACAUAUGCAUCGACAACCGCCCUUUUAAAGUUUUUAUGAAUAGAAAGGAAGAGGGGGUUGGAGAUCUCGAAUGUGGUGAUGUUGGAGAGACCAAUGGAUUGUGAAGAUGUUGCAUAUGAGCAUGGAGUAAAUGAAGUGGCUAUGAAAUAAAUUCCAUGCUCAUUAAUGCUUAGAGUGAAAUCCAUGUGGUAUGGUGAAAGUGAUAAGGUGAGUGUGGUAAAAAAGGAAAAGAAAAAGGAUACACGGAUGACUUGGUUCGAAACUAGCACAGCUACCGUUCCCCGGCAACGGCGCUAGAAAGCUUGUUGGGUAUUUUAAACGCAAACAAAAAAAUCCGCAAGCGCACGGAUACUGAUGUAGCUUUCACCCGGGAGUAUUCCAGAGUAUCGAUUUUUCACAGAGAAUGUGAGUGUACUAAUUAAGAUCCAAGAUCGCCCAACGAUAACUAUAUAAUUAUUUUUGGUGGGAAGAGAGGAAGUUUCCUGAGAGUUCUCUAGUUGAUCUAAGAAUCAAGAAUUACUUCAAGAUUAUCUAUAUCGGGACAUCAGAGCACUAACCACAGAAAGAGAUGAGAAGGGGGCUAGGAAGGUCUGACUACGGUCCUACAAACACCGAUCCGAACGUGGUGGAAUACGUCGACCGUUAGGGCUGUCACUACCCUAAGGCUACCACAACAAUCCGCAGGAUUGGGUGCAAUUCCAGGUAAUCGCAAGACUAAACAUCACGUCUAAUCUAUUAAUUACUACUCUAGCGUUAUAAAGACUAGAGCACUUGAUGCAAGCGGGAAUCCAAUAAAUAACUUGAAUGUAAAUAAAAGUAAUUAAAGAACUCAGGAAUUGUGAAUUGAAGAACCUGGAGAACGAUGAAGAACGAACCAGUUGCUGCAAAAGUAUAAUGUUGAGGAAGAUCCGACAGAUCCGGCUCCUCCUCCUCUGCUCUCCUCUUCUCUCACCCUAUUUUCUAGAUUACAACUAGAACUAACUAGAACUAGAACUAGAGGAACUAGAACUAGAACUAGAUGAACUAGAACUAGAUCUAGAUGAACUAGAGGUAGAACUAGAAGAACUAGAGGGAUCCUCUCUGCUUGGUUGAAGAAUUGAAACCCUAGCUUUGAUUCUGUAGAAGAGGUAUGAUCUCCAGGGGCCAGGGAGGUCUGGUUUUAUAGUCCCUUCAAGUGAAUCUGGGCCGUCGGAUCAAACCGACAUUGAUCGUGUGGUUUUCCUUGAUCCUUUAGGUCGGUGGAGUGUUGUCCCCGAAUUGGACUCUGUUUGGUCCAGGGGGGAGGGCGGGCGCCCAGUAAGGGACGGCGGGCGCCCAGUGCCCGGCUCCGUUACGUCUCCCGUUCGGUCCCGUGGCUUCUGGAGUCUUCUAGAUGAUAGAAAAUUGCGCGGCACGUUAAUAUCUCUAUGUAAACCCGACGUGUGGGCCUUUUUUCCGUAUUUCCUGAUAACUCCCUGCAGAAAUAGACAAACACCAAAACUUGUGGAAUUCUGUCAGAUAAAACCCUAAGUCUAGGUGUUGGUUGCAUUUGGAUCCUUUUCUAUGAUUAGUUGAUGGUUAAAUGUGAGCAUUAAGGACCGUCAACAAUGGAUACUAAGAUCAUGAGUGUAGCAUUUAAAACAAUUGUCAGAUCAAAUCGCUCAACCUAAUGGAAAGAUAAUCUAUCUAUGUAUAUGUUUUUUUAUAUAUCUUUCAAAGAUUGAGUGUACAUCAUUUUAGCUAAUAUGAUUAGGAGUGUAGGAUCACAAAGGUGGAAGGACUAAACAUGUUGAAUCGAUUGGGUUGGUUAACCUAGAGUUGUAAAUCAUACAUGUUUGUCUCUUUUAUUCAUAUGAACGCCAGAACUGAGGAGAAGCUUAUAAAAGUGAUAGUCAAGUACCUUAAGAUGUUACCUUACUUGAAGAGUGAUGGUACAGUAUCACCUUGUGGAAGCUUUCUUUCUUAGCGGUUGUGCAUCGUGUUUGUGGCACCCUCCAUGGGUCAUCUCUCUAUGAUGAAUGAGCUAUGUUCUUUUUGUGCAAAUCGUUACACUUCAUGUGUCUCUCUCUCUUCAUCUUUGAUGUGAGUUUAUCUCAGGACUUCCCAUAUCGAUAUUGAAAGUUUUUUCUGCAGGGGUUAUUCCGACAAAAUAUACCAAUGUCUACACAAGCAGUUUUUAGUUCAAUAACCGAACUAGACUCCAUGUCUAAUCAGAUUAAGGAAGGCUAUUUAACCUAAGCACCAUGCUUAAUUUAAAAGCCAAUAGAAGUAUGUGCAGUACUUCCAAACUAACACUUACUAGGAUAAACAAAGGUAGCGUGAUGACAUUUAUAGAGAUCUACUCAAGUGGAGAUGAAGUAGUGUGAUUAGUAUUUAACAAAUUGAGCAUGUCUCAAAGGUAGAGACAACCAACAUACCAACAUUGCAAAGGAUGUUUUUAUGUAAAGUACUCCCCAAGCUUGAAUUUUGCAAAAUUCAAGUUUGGAUGAAUUUAAUUCAGUGUUGCAUGAUGAUUGGUUGGUCAUACCUUGUGCUUGUCAUUCAUCCGAUCUUCUUGCUCCAAUCCUAGAAAGGUUAGUGACAAGAAUACCCAAAGGAAUAUUUUCACAAUUAUCUUUAUAUGCUCAAUACACAAGGUAAUGUUGUAAAUAAUUAAAAGCUCAUGUUAUGAUCUGAUGAGUGCUUAUUUUAGGACACUAAGCUUGUCCUUGGGAAACCAUCAAUUUAUGUCCGCGAAGUGGUUUCCCUUCCAACGCUGACCUAUAUCAAGAUCAACUCAACGAGAUCUGCAAUAUUUAUUAUAGACAUAUGCAUCAACAACCGCCCUUUUAAAGUUUUUAUAAAUAAAAAGGAAGAGAGGGUUGUAGAUCUCAAAUGUGGUGAUGUUGGAGAGACCAAUAGAUUGGGAAGAUGUUGCAUAUGAGCAUGGAGUAAAUGAAGUGGUUAUGAAAUAAAUUCCAUGCUCAUUAAUGUUAUCUUCAUCUCCAAUCUGAAUGUUCGGGGUUUCUCCUGGAUUGGUCUCACCUAUGUCCUCUUCUCUAGUUGGAUGAAUCUCAUCUUCAAAGGGAGUCAAGAGCUCACCAUUUGAAAUUGAGCCAAAGUCAGAAUCCAUUAAGGCUUCUUCCUUAUCCAUCCAUUCUACACACUCUAGCCAUUUAGAACUUGUGAUCAGGAAAGGGGAGGUGUUAGAAUUUUCUAUAUGGCUUAGCUCUCCUUCUAUGACAUUACUUGACAUGUCAUCCUCAUGGUCUUUAUGACUCCUAUGGUUUGAUCGUCUUGAUAUAUUGUUAGGAUCAUCAUGAGACUUAAAAGGAGAGGGAUAAGAGGGGUCUCUAAGGUCAAGGAUGGAUUUAGAAUUUGUGAACAUGGAAGGGGAGCAGAUAGAAUCUUCUAUAUGGUUUAGCUCUCCUUCACUUGAUAUGUCAUCCUCGACUUCUUCAUAAUAGGAACCAGGACAUUCUCUAAGAUAACCAUCAUUGCAAUGAUUUGAAUUAUCUAUGCUUGAAAGUCUCUUAUGGAACCAAAGUCUAAACCAUCAGUAUCUGAAAGAUUUAAGGUUGGAAUUCCUUCCUCCCUUGGGAGAAUUUUGGGGUAUUGAUGGUUUAGGAUCGAUAGCUAAAGUUUGGGAUUGAAGUGUUUGUGAUCUGGCUAUCGAAACUUCUUCUUCUUGUCUAGGAACUGGUUCUUUCUCUUUCUCAUGGAUAAAAAAGGUAGGAAACUUUUCACUUAAUGAAUCAAUUAAAUCUCUAGCUUCACUAGCAGGCAGGUGAUAGAAGGAUCCUCUAGAGGCCGUAUUCAAGGUUUUCUUAUUUUCCCUACUAAGGCCCUCAAAAAAGUGAAUGAGAAGAACUUCUUCUGGAAUAGAAAGCUUUGGGCCAGUGAGAGUAAGGUUAAUAAAGCGGUCCCAUGAUUUUCCAAGAGAUUCUUCUUCCAGUUGUCUAAAAGAAAUAAUCUCCCGCCGAAGUUCUGCCACUUUGGAGAUUGGAAAAUAUUUAAAAAGAAAACUAUUAUAUAAGUCCUUCCAAUCUCCAUGAACACUCCCUACUUUGAGUUUGUACCAAUGUCUAGCUUUUCCUGUUAAAGAGAACGGAAAGAGCUUCCAUUUAAGGGUCUCAUCAGACAUGCCUUCAAUGUGAAGGAGGUCACAGACUCGAUAAAACUCUCUUAGGUGUGUGUAUGGGUUUUCCUCACCUUCUCCUGAGAAAGGUUGUUUUUGAACAAAUUCUAUGUAUUCGGGGUCUAUCUCAAAACUAGAUGCUAUGAUAGGCUUUGAAGAUUUUGGUGGUUCGAGAUGUGUGCCCGUAGGUCUAUGAAAUUCAUAGAUAGACAUGUUUGCCUUCAUGAUAGACCAGAGAUCAAGGAUUAGAUAAGAAGAAAGAACAGCAGAGAUAAGGCAAAUGAUAAAAGGAAAAAUAUAUUUUUUUUAUUUUUUUAGAAAAUGAUUAAGCUAGUUCGUAGUCAACUCAGCAACCAUUUCCCCGGAAACGGCGCCAAAAAUGCUUGUUGACACUUGCUAACACUACUUGAAUACUAGGUAGUCAUCCGUAGCAUGGCACUAGAGUGUACUAUGGUAUUUAUACGCACACAGAUAAAUCCGCAAGCGCACGGAUACCAUUGUAGCUUUUACCCGGUUAAAGGUUUUAUCGUAUCCACAGGGAAACGGGAGAACUGAUCUAUGCUCUAACUUAACCUAGAUAGAUAGGUAGGUGUAAAUAGGAAAGAUGGUAGAAUUGAGUAAGAACAAUAUUCAAGGUAAGAUAACAAUGGGUGAUAAUAUGGGAAUAGAGAGUAGGGCAAUCUAGUAUAUGCGUGAUGGUAGGAGAACAGAGAGGAUAACUAUGGUUUCUCUACAUCAAAGAGGUAUGUCUAUGUCUAGGACAAACCACAUGGUAAGAAUACACCACAAAGGAUGCUUAUCCAUAGGCCGAUAAACCCUACCAGUCCUACUAACGGGAGGUGGACUACAGGGGACCAACGUAACUGUCACCUACGCGGCCUGCCACACAAUCCGGCUAAACAGGGGAUAUCCACAAGUAAUCUAGGUCUAAGCACCACGCUUACACAUAUACUACAACUCUCACCUAUAGCGUCCUAUAGAUUAAAGUACUCAAAAGAGUUGUCAACCAGAACAUACAUGGAUAGUAAUUGCAUAAUGAAAUAGAAGUAGAUUACCAGAGUCAUCCCACGAGCAAGCUUGAUUAGAGCUUAAUCAUGGCGAAGUAUAACCGGAGGAAGAACCGACAGGCCGGCCUCUCCUCCAAUCCUCCCUCGCUCUCCAUCUCGCUACUAUCUAGAUCUACUCUAGUUUAGAGAAGAGAGGAGAGCUCUCAUCUCCAAACCCUAGCUUUUGUUCUGUCUAUGAAUAAUGAAUAAGGAUGAAGGGGUUGCCUCCGCCAGGGGCUAGGGGGCCUGCUUAUAUAGUCACCUCAAGUGAAUCUGGGCCGUUGGAUCAAACCGACAUUAAUCACACGGUUUUCCUUGAUCCUUUAGGUCAGUGGACCAUAAUCCACGAGAUUGAUCGUGAUUGGCUGAAAAAGUAGGGCGGGCGCCCUGUCCCUGAGCCCACUCGGCUUCCCGUUCGUUCCCGUGGCUUCUGGAGUCUUCUAGAUGAUAGAAAAUUGCGCGGUACGUUAAUAUCUCUAUGUAAACCCGACAUGUGGGCCUUUCCUCCAAAUUUCCUGAUAACCCCCUGCAGAAAUAGAGAAACACCAAAACUCGUGGAAUUCUAUCAGAUAAGACCCUAAGUCUGGGUGUUGGUUGCAUUUGAAUCCUUUUCUUUAUUUAUUUGAUGAUUAAAUUUGGUACUUAAGGACCGUCAACACUCCUACGGCGGGGUCAUAAAGAGAAUCCACAGGUGUCCUGCUUAUGAGACAACGAAUGGUUGUGAAAUAGGAGAGAAGCCUGAUAACAUCAGACGACACUUCUGACUCCUUCAGCCAUUCGCUGCUCAUAACAGUCAUGAGCUCUUGACUAGUUGCUUUGAGGUAACAAGCCUCUAAGCGAGAAGAUACUUGCUCUUUUGGAGUGUUGUGGUUUCUCUUUUGCACAGGUUGUUUCGAGAUGUUGCCAUAAUCGGUGAAAAGAUCCAUCUUGAUGUUAAGAGGAUACUCCAAUGGAUGAAUCACUUCUUCCUUUGGAGGUAUUUGGGAUUGUGGUUUAGGCUCGACAGCUUGUGAUGUGGCUAUUGUAGGGUCAGCUGAUGAGGUUUCAUCCCUAGGGGCUUGGUCUUCCUCAGGGGCAUCACUAUGGUCAUCAGUGUAGGGGGUGUUGUCUAGUAUGGUUGCUAGGACCACCCUACCUUCACUAAUGGGUAAAUGAAGGAAUGCUCCCUUCGAGGCUAGAUCAAGGAAUUGUGUGGAACUUUGCCUAAGACCGAGAUAGAAAUGCUGCAUUAGCGUUGGCUCGGUUAUGGCUAAGUCUGGGCCUGAGGACACUAAGUUUGUGAUUCGUGCCCAAGCCGCACCUAGAGAUUCCUUCUCUUCUUGCUGGAAGUUUACAAUCUCUCUACAGAGACAAGCCACACGAGAAAUGGGGAAGUAGGUAAGGCAAAACUUGGCUUACAGCUUCUCCCAUUCUCUGUCUACGCUACCUACAUAGCAAGAGUACCACCGUCUGGCUUUUCCCAUCAAAGAGAACAGGAAGAGAUUCCACUUACACAGCUACAGAAAACAUUUUUACAUACGAUGCUAAAAGCAUCUUCAUAGGUGGCCAAGUCCAUCGCCUGUACCGGGGGUCAUUACAAAAUGGACCACAGUACAGGCGGGGUAGUGUGAGCCACCUAUGGAAAUUGGGUUUUCACAGGCAGCUCACCUAGUCAGCCGCCUAUGUAAAUGUAUUUUUACACAAGCGGCUGACAAGGUGAGCCGCCUGUGAAAACCCAAUUUUCAGAGGCGGUUCACACUACACCGCCUAUGUAAAUAAUUUUUUAUAUAUAUUUCAAAUUUUAAUUUUUCCCACCACACAUAGUGCUAAACAUCAUAUAUAUAUACACAUCAUACAUACACCACAUAUAUAUAUUAUAGAAUUGUAAACAUGAAAUCAAACAUGAACCAUAAAAUUACAUAUAUAUAUAUACACGUCAAUGCAUGUUAUCCGCACAACCAUACAGUGUUUACAUGUCAUUUCGCUUCAGAUUUAGACCUGCUAUGUUUGUCAGCACUCUAAAUUUAUCACUUGCUAAAUCUUCCUCAUGAUCAAAAUAUGCACAGUCACUUAGAAUUAUUUCUCUCAUAAUAAAACCGCACAAGUCUGCUACUAUAUCUUCUAGAGUCUUUGGUGUAAAGGGCACAUCCUUUCCGUGCUUUUUCGGCUGGAAACAAAGUUUAAAAGCAUGAUUGAGACAUGUUCAAUGUAUACUUUUGCAACUUUAAUAUGAAAACUUCAUAGAUAGAUAUUAUUUACCAUAUUUUUGUCCCUUACGUAAUAUCCCCGCUGCCUUAUAAACUCACAGACAUAGUACCCACAAUAGACUGAUCCAGGUGGUUGCUUGUGGCACUAUAUUAUGAGCAACAGAUUAUACUAAACUUGCCAUGCCUUAUGUAUUAUUUAUAUGAUGAAAUGUGUUCGGACAACUUACCGGAUAGUGAUGUUGUAUCGUCAAUGGCAGCCUAGGAUCUGAGUGUGCGGCAUCGACCGGUCCUUUUUGUUUCUUAUAAAACUGCCAUGCCCUAUAGAUAUCGAAUAUAAAUCACUAAAGUUAUUUUGAAACUCUAAUUCAUAUAAGUACACAUGUGGUUUCAUAUUGGCUCACCUUUCUAAUUGAACCAAGAAUGGUUAAUACUUCUUGGGAGGAACAUUUAAAGAGUCUAGGACAAGCACCUUCCCUUUGAAGGGAUAGUUAUAAAAAACAAUCCAAUGGUCACUGCAUGAAUAAAUGAGUGAGCGACACAUGUAUAUUGUUUACACAAUAAUUUGAAGUACGUAUAUGAAGUCAAGCUUACCUAAAGUUGUAAGGUGCCAAUAUAAAAUCCCUGUACUUAUACCUCAGCAUUGAUCUACCAAGAUAGAGGGCAUAUUUUUUGUUGAUGCAAAAGUAGAUCUACAAACACAAAGGGCUAAUACCCAAUUCAAACGUUGAGGCAUGCCUGCCGAUUUGACCUUACAAUCGACAAAUGUGGUAACUCAAAUACUUUGGUGCCGACAACAGCGAUGCGCCCGGAUGCCACGGCCAAGAGGUAUUCAUGUGGAACUCGAGAACUCGUCGAGUAUGACUCGAUGAAUUCUUAAGAACUCGUAUGUAAAAGAAAAUAUGUAAGUUGAUGAAGUCGUCGAAAAUGUAGACGCAAAAGUAGACGUAAAACUUGUGUAUAGUAUUGAUUGAUUUUUCUCUUACAUUGCCGCUAGGCCCAUAUUUAUACUCUACUCUAAAGAGUUACAAUCGUAUACGACUAGGAUGUAAUUCUAAACCAAAUAGGAAUCGUACAUAAAACAAACUCUAACAACUAUGGAAAGUAACAACCUAUCUAUCUUUGCCAAUCAGCACACCACCAUUGCCUUCUUAGCAACUCCCAUGUCUCCCUUUGUUGUCAUCGGCAUAUUCCCUGCAUCCUUUCAUAAUCAUCGGCACACUCCUCUUCAUUAGCGUCGGCAAUCAUCAAUACCAGCAAUCAGCAUUACUCAGCAACCAUCACCAGACUCAGCAACAUCUUCUUCCUAUUGUUAUAUCAUCGGCAAUGUUGACCAUCGGUAAUCCUUCUAUCGGCCAUACACAUCACUUCUUUGACUACCGAUACUGACUACCCUGAUCCAAAAAUAGUGUCAACACAUGCCCCCCAAUUUCAGAGUAUGGAGUCAUUAAUGCUCCAAAAUUCUCUCCUGAUAAUGAUAACCUUUUCACAAUUAUUUCCUUCCGAUGACAAUUAAUUACCAAAUGCAAACAACUUUAUUUAUGAUCUCCAUCAUAUACCUCGAAUCUCUCAACCAUCCGAACCAAAUCUCCUAAACAUACGCUCAUCGGAAACUGUUCUGUUAGUGCUGGCUGCCGAUGAAUCGACCAAAAGAUCUUGCAAAGUGGGAUAUCUCCUAAAAUCAUGAUUACUCGCUGUCAAAUCACCUGCACAAUCCCUUGAUUACCGUGCGAAUAGUUACCAUAUCCAUCUGAACAACCUUGAAUUUCAUAGAUAUGGCAAAGAGAUAAUUAAAAAUACCCCUGCUCAUUUCAACCUAUAAAUAGAUCCUUCCUUAGUACUCAUUCUCUACAUUACCAUCCUCCAUCCCCAAACUUAUCUCUCUAGCGGCGGCAUUGACGAAGAACCCCGGUAGAACCUUCCCAAAAAUCUUCAAGCCUUCGACUUCCUCUGUCUCAGGAAGAAAUGGCCAUCAACUUCAUCGUCCCUGAGGUUAUUCUAUUCUCAUCUUCUUCUUCCUUUACUGCAACCCUUUACUUUUCGCAAGUCUACUUACUUAGCAUUUUUCUUUUCUUUUCUUUCUGUUUUACCAAUCUUCAAACUUUAGGAGUUGAGCGAGAAAAUCGUUAUUCCUACUGAACAACCCCACCUCCAAUGUCUCGGUCCAAUGGGUGAUCCAGAUCCCACCGAUCUGAUCAAUGCAAAAACCAAUAGGAUUCCUUUUAGGGCCGAGAAUUUUCUUUAGAUAUGGAAGGAUACUUUCCGAUCCUAGCCAAACCCCACCAAAGGAUGGAAAGACUAGUUUCUAAGAAUCAGUAAAACCAAUGAAUUAUGCUAGGGUGAAUGCAAAAUAGACCAGUGCAUCAGACUUUCCAUUGCCGAUAUGGAAAGAAAUAAAUCAAUGUUGAUAGCUACCUCAUACUUCUGGUCAGAUACUUUUAAUGCUUUUAUUUUCGGCCACGGCCCAGCUUCCCCUACGCUUGCCGAUGUGGUUGUGCUGACUGGUUUGGAUGUUGCCACUAUAGAUGAUCGUCAGUUAUUCGGACGCAAAGCCGAAUAUAAAGUAGAAACCCGCAACAUCGGUGGUUGGUCAGGAUAUAUUCAGAAAUAUCAACGAACGGGAUCAGUUAGUCAGAGAGAGCAUGCCACUUUUCUGAAUAUGUGGCUAGACAAAUUCAUCUUCUGCGGCCGAUCGGUAGCACCAACUUCUGUUUACUUAUCGGCAGCAGAAAGGUUAGCCGAUGGUAACCGAUUCACCCUGAGCCAAUAUCUGCUGGGUUCUGGCUAUCACCUCCUCCAUCAAGUAGCCGAGAAACUCCUGCUAGGUGAACCCAUCAGCAAUCUAGGAGGCCCCUAGUGGUUUAUCAACAUGUGGCUCAACGUUCAUAUGCACAAACAGUUUCGAUUUGACUUCUUCGCACAACAGUUCCCACGAGACAUCACCAAAGAUUAUGAACUGGCAGAUGAUGAAUCAGCAAUGCGCUCACCCCUCAAUUAUGGUGAAGCUGUUAUAGUCCUUCCUGGUACUGGCUCCAACGAGAACCAGAUCGGCCGAUUCUUUCAGACAUUGUAUGAUGGCCUAUCCAAAGAUCAGCGAGCAUGGAUGCCCUACGAAGAGCAAGAGUCUAGAUUUCCGCUCACUUUCCACCCCUUUGAUGAUGCUCUUAAUAAAGACAAUGACCUGAUGAUGGCAAUCAUCACCCCAAGAGCAAUCCCAGUAAACAGUUUUGGCAGCGGGAAGAACAUCAACACCACCUACGAGUUUUACAACCCAUCGGCACUAGCUCGCCAAAUGGCUUUCAGUCAGCUACCGAUCAGACUUUGUUAUGCCAAUGUUGUAAAACUGAGAGAGAUAAUAACCAGCGGACUUGAGUGGAUCAGAGUAGCCCAACUCUAGCCAGACGCCGAUACGACAGAUAUUGAUCUAUCGGCUUGGGUUCCAGCUCUCUUCAUCACUCAGUCAUACAAACAGUGGUGGGAAGAAUAGAAGGAGCAUCUGUUCUGGGUAUCGGCUCACAUGCAGCGCAACAUGAUUGACUUCAACUAUUAAGUUCCCAAUGAUGUUGUAAGUCCCUUGCCGAUACUUUAGUCCUUUUAUUAACUUUAACUUUAUCAGCAACUCACCCUUUUUCAUUUCAACAGGUUGAUGACCCAGCGCCAAUAGUAAGCAGAAGUGGGAGGCCGAUCGAACUUCUCCCAUCAGGCCCAAUCUCUCUGAUCGGCCACAACACCCCCAGCUUAGCAGCUCUGAUGCAUCGAAAUAUCAGCUUCAAAAAGACGACCACCAAACAGUCGAAAGUUUCUCCAUCGGUAGCUGCUACCACUUUGGCACAAGCUUUUAAGGUAAACUCUUAAUUCUCUCUAUUUAUACUGAUUUCAUCCCAUACUUACACUAUCUUUUUAGGGUACAUCGGCUGCAACAGGAACGUCAUCGGUAACUCUAUUUUGCACCAAAUUUUUAUAUAUAUAUUUUUUAGCAAAACUCCACCAAUACCUUUUCUUAUAUCUAACUCAUGAAAUUUUGGUUUCUUGUAACAGCAGACUGGUGCAUCGGCAAAGACCAAGAGUAUUCGAACAUCGGGUGCCGAUGCCCCCCAGCCCAGUCAAGCCCCACCUAAGAGAAAUAGUCCAAAGAGCACCAAGUCCCAGCCAAAGCGAUAGAAGACAACACCAUCCUCUCCACCUCACCCAGCAUCCCUGAUCCAAGUAGCACCCUCUCCUCCUCAAUCAGAGCCCCAGACGCAAGAAGUACCUCCUCCUGCACAAGCAGGCCCAGCCGAUGUGUGUGGCCAGACCACUGACCUAGUCGAUCUGGGCACAUUAUCGGUUGUUCCCCUUGAGUAGACAAUCGCCAUUCCCCGUCAAGGUAAAGUUCUGAUUACAAAAUCAUUACCGAUGAUUUCUUCUAUAAAUACCAUCAUCACCCUUGGCAAUUUUCAGUUGAUGAUAUUCCAUCAGUAGCUCUAGCCGAUCAAACUAUAGUACCAGCUGCAUCUCCAUGCCAGAGACAAGAAAUCUCAUUGAAGCAAGUAAGUCACCCAAUUCCCCAGAUUUGGCACCGUCAAUACUUAAUUUUUGGGUAACUUAUCUUUUCCCCUUUUAGGAGCAAGACUCUCCCGAUAGCCUAUUCUCUUUCGCUAUCGAUAUCUCUAAUGACUAAGGCGACGAAGCAAGCUCCUCAAAGGCACUUGGAAUCACAUCGACAGACAUUAAGACUAAGCUAGAAGAUCUACUAGCUAUGUUGCAUCAAGACCCAGCCUAGCUAUUGGAUGACUCUAAUCCAGCCAAGACUAUAUUCAAAACUCUCUGUGGUCAGAUUCGAGCCGAUGCUGAGGAGAUUCUUUUUCAAGCUGCCCACCUAGAAAGUCGCCAACUCCAGUAUCAGAAAGCCACUCAAUGCCUUGCCGAUAGAGCUACUCACGCGUAGCUCAAAAAGGAAAUGCUACAAGUGAAGCAUGUUGCCGAUGAGAAGCACAAGAGUUUCUAAUCCUCAGGCACCGAGUUGAAACAUAAAAUUUCUAAUCUAUCGGACAAAAGGGAGGCUUUGUUGGCCGAACUCAAGCAGGUGGAGGAAGCUCUGCCCAAGCCCAAGAGGAGGAAUGCCAACUACCUGAUGCACUCAAGAAACUUCAGCAAGAAAGAGAUGUCCAAGCUCGCAAAGCGCUGCACAUGAAGAAGAAGCUGAAGCCGGUGGAAGGUUCUGCCGAUGAAGACAACCGCAAGAUAGAGGAGGCCAACCAAAUUCGUCUGCGCGCAAUUAAUAUCGGCCAUCCAAACCUUGUUGAACCUGUGAACUUUUCAUCGGCAGCUUGUUUAAUUUCUUUCCCAAAACUUUGAUCAUUUGGUCCAGCCGAUAGGACUGUUAUCGGCAUUUAAACUCUUUAUGCAUGGCCCCAAAUACACUUGACAUUUUUUCAGCUGACAGGAUUGUUAUCGGCACUUAAACUUUUAUGUGUUAACCUAGACACUAGGGUAAUAUCUCUUUAAAUACUUUCCAUUCAAUGCUAUGGGAAAUUCAACUCCUUCGAGAGUCUCUAAAAUAUAAGCAUUGCCAGGGCAGAUCAAUUUAUCCGAUAAGGACCCUCCCAAUUGGGAGACCAUUUUCCAAAUUUUGAGCUUUUAGUCCCAAUCAGUAGAAUCAGUUCCCACACUAAAUCCCCAUCGGCAAAUUCCUUGGCUUUUACCUUUUUAUCAUACCAUUUAGCCACUCUCUUUUUAUUCUCCUCUAUGCUGAUUAAAGCUCUUAACCAAUGCCCUGCUAAAUCAUCCAACUCAUCUUUCAUCAAAGUAGUGUAAUCAUCGGCAGUUAACUAAUCCUGAGAAAACAUUCGCCUAGAACCAGUUUUAAUUUCCCAAGGCAGUUCUGCAUCAUGUCCAUAUACCAGUUGAUAAGGUGAUACUUUGGUCGAGCCAUAACCCGCCAUCCGAUACGACCACAAGGCUUCAUUCGUUUGUUAGAAGCCUCAACCUGCCCAUUAGCUUGAGCAUAAUAAGGAGAAGAAUUCAACACUUUAAUCCCCAUACCGAUUGCAAACUCAUCAAACUCUCCCGAUGUAAACAAAGUACCUUGAUUGGUAGUAAUUGUUUGGGGAAUGCCAAAUCGGUAAACAAUAUGUUCCACAAAAUCAAUCAUGUUGGCCGAUGUUACUUUCUUCAAAGGAAUAGCCUCAACCCAUUUGGUGAAAUAGUCAGUGGCAACAAGGAUGAACUUAUGACGUUUACUCGAUGGUGGAUAAAUUGGAUUGAUGAGAUCAAUAGCCCAAUCCCAAAACGGCCAAGGUUUAAUAAUAGAAUUCAAAUCUGAUGCUGGUGCCCUUUGAAUGUUGCCAAACUUCUGACAUCCUUGACAUCCUUUGAAAUACUUGAAACAAUCCUCAAGUACAGUUGGCUAGUAAUAUCUGUUCCUUCUAAUCAUCCACUUCAUCUUAAAAGCUAAUUGAUGCGCUCCACAUACUCCUUCAUGAAUUUCACCCAUCAAGCUUUUGGAUUCAUCCUCACCUAAACAUUUAAGCAAAACUCCAUCUAUUGUUCGAUAAUACAAUUCUUAUUCAAGGAGUACAUACUUUGUAGCUCGAAACCUAACACGCCUUUCAACUUUUUCUGGAUGGAUCUUUUAAAUAAUCAAUAAUUUCUUUUCUCCAAUCAUCGGCACUGAUUGCCGAUAAUAUUUCCAAGAUGGGUUGAUAUCUAGAGGCAUGUUGAGCCAAUCGGUUAGCUUCUUCAUUAUGUAACCGAGGAAUAUGCUCUAAUCAGAAAUCCCUGAACCCUUUCAAUAAUUGAACACAUUUUUUAUAAUAUUCUAUCAAAACUUCACUUCGGCAUUCAUAAAUCCCAGCCAACUGAUUUAUAACAAGCAUAGACUCACCAAAAAUUUCGACAGCGUCAGCAUGAACCUACUUCAAUAAUUCUAAUCCUUUGAUUAGGGCUUGGUACUCAGCUUGAUUUUUUGUCAACAUAGCAAAAAUCGGUAAAGAAAACUCAUAUUUCUUCCCUUGAGGAGAAAUCAACACUAUACCGAUACCUGCCCCUUGAUCACAUGUAGAUCCAUUAAAGAAGAGCGUCCAAGGAACAAUUUCCAUAGCAUCCACUACACCACAAUGCUGAGUUACAAAAUCGGCCAUGAUUUGUCCUUUGACUGCCUUAGCCGAUUCAUAACGUAAAUCAAAUUCCGAUAAUGCUAAUAUCCAUUUGCCGAUUCUACCACUCAUAAUCGGCAUUGAAAACAUGUAUCGGACCACGUCAUCUUUGCAUAUAACAGUGCAUUCAGCCAAUAGCAAAUAAUGUCUCAAUUUGACACAAGAAAAAUACAAGCAUAAGCACAAUUUCUCAAUUGACAAAUACCUUGUCUCAACAUCCACCAAUCUUCUACUUAGAUAGUAAAUUACGCGCUCCGUCCCUUCAAAUUCUUGAAUGAGAGCUGAACCGAUGACCGUAUCAUCGGUAGACAAAUAUAACCUGAAGGGCUUUCCAGGCUGAGGUGGAACCAAGACUGGAGGAUUUGCCAAAUAAUUCUUUAUUUCAUCCAAGGCUAACUGUUGCUCUUUUCCCCACACAAACUCUUGAUCAGCUUUUAAUUUAAGCAAGGGGCUGAAAGCACGAAUCUUACCCAAUAAAUUGGAUAUAAAUCAUCUGAUAAAAUUAAUCUUGCCGAUCAAUGAUUGAAGUUCAGUUUUAUUGGUGGGAGCAACUACUUUGCCGAUUGCAUCAAUGGAUCUCCUGCUGUUUUCAAUCCCUCUUUGAUGCACCAUGAAACCUAGAAACAGACUUGCCGAUACGCCAAAUGCACAUUUAUUGGGGUUCAUUUUCAAACCAUGUUUCUUUGUGCAUUCCAACACUUUUCGCAAAUCGGCUUGAUGUUUUGUGAAAUUCCCUGACUUAACUACCACAUCAUCAAUGUAGAUUUCCGCCAACUUGCCGAUGAACUCAUGGAAAAUAAAAUUCAUGGCCCUCUGAUAGGUAGCACCAGCAUUUUUCAAGCCAAAAGUCAUGACUAUCCAUUCAAACAACCCAACAUGACCAGGACACCUAAAUGUAGUCUUGGGAAUAUCCUCCUCGACCAUGAAUAUUUGAUUGUACCCUGCAUUGCCAUCCAUAAAACUAAUAAUCCGAUGUCCAGACGUAGCAUCAACUACCAAAUCGGCAACUGGCAUUGGAUAACCAUCCAUCGGCGUGGCUUUAUUGAGAUUCCCAAAGCCAAUGCAGACACGAAGCUUUCCAUUCUUUUUAUAGACAGGGACAACAUUGGAAGUCCAUUCGGCAUACCAACAUUGCCGAAUAUACUUGCUUCAAUAAGUUUGGUUAUUUCGGCCUUAAUAUUAGGAAGAAUAUUAGGGUUACAUCGAUAUGUUGGCUGCUGAUGUGGCAAAAAUCUAGAUUUAAUAGGCAACCGAUGUUCAACAAUUGAUCGGUAUAAACCAGACAUCUCGGUAUAAUCCCAAGCAAAGCAAUCUCUAUAUUUCUUUAACAAAUCGGUUAAUUGCUGCUUACAUUCAGAAUCUAACUUAGCACUAAUAAAGGUAGGCCUUGGCUUAUCGCCAUUAACUAUAUCUACUUCUACUAAAUCAUGUGCCGAUGUAAACCCCUAUCCUAGCUUUCCAUCAUCAGCGAACCUAUCCAUUAAAACUCUUUAUCAGAACCGACUACUUGGAUCGGUGGAAUUUCAUAACCGACAACCUUGAGAAAAUCUUUCUCCCAAACCUCUCCUAAUAUGCAUCUGGUCCGCUCAUAGGUAUCUGACUCCGCUGAUGCAAUGACAUAUGAAGAAUCUCCCGAGAAAAUCUCAAUUUUGUCACCUACCCAAUGAACAAGGCAUUGAUGCAUGUAGAAGGAAUGCAACAAUUGGCAUGAAUCCAAUCUCUCCCUAGAAGUAAAUUAUAUGCACCUUUUCCACUGAUAACAAAGAAGGUCAUCAGCAAGGUUUUACUACUGAUGGUUAAUUCAACGCAUAUAGCUCCCUUAACUGGAGACACAUUCCCUUCAAAAUCAUUCAACAUCAUGUCGGUCUUGGUCAAAUCCUUAUCUCCUUUGCCAAGCUUCCGAUAUACUACAUACGGCAUAAUGUUAAUCUCAACCCCCCAUCAAUGAUUAUUUUGGACUUCGGCUGCCCAUCGACCCUGCCAUUGAUAAACAGAGCUUUAAGAUGCUAUCUUUCAUUAGCAGAAGGCUUCUUGAACAUAGCUGACAUUGGAUCAAGUGCCAACUGAGCUAUCUGGUUAGGGAGAUUUAUUUCCUCAUCAUCGCUAAAGGGUGCAAUAAAUUCCAUUAGCAACAUAAACACCAUGUUAACAUCUGCCGAUGGUCCUUUCCCCUUGUGGUCCGAUUGCUGCCGAUUUUUAGACUUAGAAGAAUUUUCCUCCCUAUUCAGCUCUUCUUGACGUUAUCGCUGCAUCCUUCUCUUCUGGGUCCUUGUUAACCCUUCUUGGCACCAUUAGAGAAGCUGUGUCCUUCGCAAUGGUUGAUAGCGAGCCUCCCUUGACUCCAUCCGAUGAGUAUUAGCAUCUCUACAGAAUAUAAAUUCAUCGGGAACCCAUGUUUUUGCCAUUUCUUCAAGUUCCUCUUGGUUUCUUGGAAAAUGACCAACACAUUCACCAAGUCUAUCAUGCACACUGAGCCUGCCCCCCAGCCGAUCAUGGACUUACAUUCUCCCUCUGAUCGGUCCAGUGAAACGCUGAUCAUUGUUUUGGAACCAUUGAUCUGGCUGAUCAUACCGAUGGUAGCCAUUGCACUCAGGACAAUCUCGUACAGUCGGCAACUUGAUGUUUUGUUCCCAGCAAUGAAUAAAGAACGGGCAAUUCCAAUGAGCUCUAUGUGGAUUCCACUCUUGCCGGCACCUUUCUUCUUCUUGGCGUCGAUCCUCUUGCUGUCGGCGAUACCGAUCUUCACGCUGUUGCCACGUUUCCCGAUGUCGUCUAUGAGUAAUUACGAUACUAGAUCGAGGAGGCUUCCCAGCGUCAUCGGUGGUUACUUGAUGCUGGGGAUCUACCGAUGCACUUCUCUCAGCCGCUUCUAAUGUUAAGACUUUGGUUUUACCUUUGGCAUCUAACAUGUUUGCAGGGAAAGAAUGCUGAUCAAUUUUCAUCACCUUCUGAGCUUUGGAAUUGUCAAACUUAAUCCUCCCAGAUUCUAUAGCCGAUUGCAACUGCUGCUUGAACACUUUGCACCCAUUUCAACUGUUGUGACGUUGCAUUAUGCCACUUGCAAUACUUGAUCUUCUUUAACUCCUCUGCCGAUGGGAUCACAUGAUUGGGUGACAAUUUAAUCUGUCCUUCUUGAAGCAAUAAAUCAAAUAUCCUAUCGGCCUUUGCGAUAUCGAAAGCAAAUUUCUCGGGUUCUUUUUGGCCAAAAGGACAGGACAUCGGCUUUUUGUUUUUCACCCACUCUGCCAAACCGACUACUGGUUCUUCAUCAGAAUCUGAACUCAUUACCUCAUCCACAAAUGAGACUUUCUUAUUCCAAGCUUUCCUAGGUUCAAAAGCCUUGAUAUCUUGAUCAGAAAUUAUCUGCACCAAAUGACUCAGACUUUCAAACUCUUGAGAAGCAUAUUUGUCUUUGAUGUGUGGCAACAAUCCCUAGAAAGCCAAAUUGGCUAACUGCCGAUCAUCUACAACCAGACUGUAACAUUUGUUCUUUACAUCCUACAACCUCUGCACAAAGCAUUCAACCAAUUCUUCAUUAUGUUGCCUCAGUCUAACUAAAUCGGUAAUCUUCUUCUCAUGAAACCCAGAGAAGAAAUAUUUGUGAAACUGCUUUUCUAGAUCGGCCCAAGUAAUAACUGAAUUUGGAGGUAACGAAAUAAACUAGGUAAAUGCCGAUCUUGACAAAGAUGAUGAAAACAAACGAACUCUUAAUUCAUCUCUGUUAGCAGCCUCUCCAGACUGGAUGAUGAAACGAUUAACAUGCUCCAUAGUUGAUGUGUCAUCUUGCCCAGAUAAUUUAGUAAAAUCUGGCACCUUUUACUGAUUUGGAAGCAGAAUCAAAUCGUAUGGAGGAGGAUACAGUGUCCAAUAAGAAUAAGUAUUGACCUUUGGUUUUAUUCCAAACUAAUCUCUCAUAACUUCUGCUAUCUUAUCUGUCCAAUAGGCAUCGGCAUCCUGCCGAUGUGCAGGUUGAAGUUCUGGUACCUGCUAAUAAGGUUCCACAUGUCUCUGGGGUACACGAUCUCCAGGAAACAUAACAUUGGCCAUAGCUUGCUGACCACCAAUUUGCUGAGCUAGAUUCUUUAGCUGAUUGGCAGGUCCUUGAUUCUAAAAACCAACCUGCAUCUGUCCUUGCUAGAAUCUCACAGCUUGAUGAUUCUGUUGUGUCACAUGUGGAAAGACAAACUGCCCUGUCCAUCCAUUGUUAGCAUUCAUCGGCGCAGGCCCUGCUGAUGGCUGAUAAUUGACUGUCAUUGCUGGGUUGACAUACCCUGUCUAAGUCAUAAAUCUCUGUUGCAUCGGCAAUGGAUCUGCCGAUGAAUUUGCGUUAGGCAUCUGGAAUGUAGGCAUUGGAAAAUUCCCCAUAUCAGGCCUUGUAGUAGUAGUUGUAGAGUACUGGGGAAUCUGAGUCAUCGGCGAAACUGGAGGUGCCGAUGUCUUAGGAGCUUUUCCUACUAAGUCAGCCACCUAAGCUAUUCUAGAACUAUUUGCAAAAAAAUCCGGAGGCAUACCAUAUCCCCACCAAUUGGGAGGAACUUGACAAUUCAGAUCCGGGCAUUGCCGAUGCCGAUAGAUCCGUAUUGAGUUGAACCCGUCCCUCUGAUGCUGCUGGAUUAGUUUUCAUCAGUGUAGACUGCCCAUUAGUCAUCCCUAAUGUGCUUGGAGGAGAAGUAACUUCUAUACCCGCAACGGCCGGAGGAGCCGAUGGAGCCGUGACCGAUGACAACCCAGGCUGGUGAUAGGCUGGGCCAACAUAUAAUGGUGGUGUCUGUCCUUCUUUAAAAGUUCGAGCCAUGGCAUUGUAGACAGUAUUAUACAACACACUAGAUUGAUUUAUCAAAGCACGAUUAAUAGCAUUGUCAACCAUGUCUUGCAAUUUACGAGGAUUGGCUUCAAAAGUAAUCUGCCGAGGCAUCAGCAGUUCUUGCUUCUAGAAUACUUCACCGCUCCUGUUGACGCUGAAGGAUCUCAAAGCAAAGUUGCUUGUACUCCUCCAUAGCCCUCGCCAUAGCCUACUUCUCCUCGUCCCUGAGAUCAGCUUUUGUGACAGCAAUGACGUUCUCCGUAUCGAGCUCAGUAGUAGCCAUGUUGAUCUUGUUGGUAGAUUUGUCCCACCGGGUGUGCCAAAAGAUGUGUUGAUGCAAAAGUAGAUCUGCAAACACAAAGGGCUAAUACCCGAUUCAAAUGUUGAGGCAUGCCAGCUGAUUUGACCUUACAAUCGAUAAAGGUGAUAACUCGAAUACUUUGGUCCCGACAACAGCGAUGUGCCCGGAUGCCACGGCCAAAAGGUAUUCACACGGAACUCGAGAACUCAUCGAGUAUGACUUGAUGAAUACUUAACAACUCGUAAGUAAAAGAAAAUAUGUAAGUUGACGAAGUCAUCGAAAAAGUAGACACAAAAGUAGACGUAAAACUUGUGUAUAGUAUUGAUUGAUUGUUCUCUUACAUUGCUGCUAGGCCCAUAUUUAUACUCUUCUCUAAAGAGUUACAAUCGUAUAUGACUAGGAUCUAAUUCUAAACCAAAUAGGAAUCAUACAUAAAACAAACUCUAACAACUAUGGAAAACAACAACCUAUUUGUCUUUGCGAAUCGGCACACCACCAUUGCCUUCUUAGCAACUCCCAUGUCUCCCUUUGUUGUCAUCGGCAUAUUCCCUGCAUCCUUUCAUAAUCAUCAGCACACUCCUCUUCAUCAGCGUCGGCAAUCAUCAAUACCAGCAAUUGGCAUUACUCAACAACCAUCACCAGACUCAGCAACAUCUUCUUCCUGUUGUCCUAUCACCGGCAAUGCUGACCAUCGGCAAUUAUUCUAUCGGCCACGCACAUCACUUCUUUGACUACCGAUACUGACUACCCUGAUUCGUGUCCAAAAACGGUGUCAAUAAUUGUCCUCUAUUUUCUUUGCAACUCUUUUAUAGCUUCUGCAACUUCUUCUGGUGUUUUGUCCUUCUCUAUCUUUGCUAUAUCUUGCUUUGAUAAUACAAAUUUGUGUAUAUUUUCUUGCAACUUGAUAGGGCUCAGAUAACCGACCAUCGAUCCGGCAGAUAGUAAUGACCUCUACUCGUGAUCUUGCAAACUACAGACAACAUCUACAUAUUAGAGUUUCACACUACAUAUUAAUAAUAAUUGUGUGUGCAUGAGUGAUACUUAGAGGCACUAGAUUGUUAUGAGUUGGACGUCAAGCCACCUAUAGUUCGACAACAAGUGCAUGUCCUCGAAGGUAACAAAUGCCUUGCUUUUUUCGUUACCAGUAGCAAACACGUCUACUGGUAUAUCAACUCUGAUUGCAUGGAGGUCAGCAUGCACUGCUCUCAUGUACCAGUCAUGAAACCUUUUUAUCGUCCAUUGAAUCUUACCAAGCAGCGUCCAUUGGAGCGUAGGACUUCCGAGCACAUAGUCACUGGGGACAUUGACUUAAUCAUCAAUCGUUGGCUUUCUAAUAUCAUUUAGGGUCAAUGGUUGACUUGAUGGCUGUUCGACAUGUACAUCGCCACUUGGGGCUUCCUUUGAUGGGGGCAUGGCUUCUGUUGACUAGGCGGCAGCUUCCUUUUUCUGUGAUGGUUUGAGCUCAGUGAGUCGUGUCGUCCGCUGCUUUCCAAGUCCUUUCAGAAAGAGAGCUAUGCCUGCUGCUUUCCCCUUUUUUGGCUCAUAGGGAGAAAUCAAUUUUGGAAUUGGAAAUUUAUUCACCUUCUUAGAGGCCGGUGCUAAUGGGGGAGUUUGCUCAUCUUCCUUCUACUUUGGAGGUGGUGGGGGAGUUUGCUCAUCCUCCUUCUCCUUUGGAGGUGGUGGGGGAGUUUGCUUAUUCUCCUUCUCACGUGUUGUGUUCUCCUUGGAUGGCAGAGUCUGCUGCUUAGGGAUGUUCUCCUUGGCUGGCCCCUCAGGCUCAUUCUGCAAGAAUGCCAUCUCAUGUAUUGGGGAGGAUGGUGGUGGCUCGUAAAUGUAUGGGGAUGCUGGAGCAUGCAUUGGCAAUGGUGGCUAUUGAUAUGUUUCGGCCUCUUGAGAUGGUUGAGGCACUAUGCUUGGAGAGGGUGGCGCUGGUGGGCCAACCCCUUAUGUUGGAGCAGAAACCAGAAGCAACUUUUAAAUUCUUCAACCACACACACGUUGCAUGUUUCUCCUCUCUGUUCAGGUUGUAGCUUGCUGCCGGUAGCUGGUACUUCCCAUUCUCUAGGAGUAUAGGGUGAAGUUCUUUUUUGAUCUUCAAAUGUUGCAUGCCGAAACGUGAAUUGAGACCUUCCUUUGUCUUGCUCUUUAUGUCUAGGAAGGUUCCAAUUACGCUUUUAAACACACUGUUCUGAACAUGCAUACCAUCGACCGCAUGUCGUACGUCCAAGUUUUUCCAGUAGAAUAAGUACUUGAAGAAAAUGGACUUCUUCUUGAAUGUGUCCCCUUAAUUUGCCUUCACAACCUUUCUUCGUUUCCCAUGUUUGGUCUUCUUUCCAAAAAUAAACUUCACAUUCUCAACUAUCUUGUACACUCUAUGCCCUUUACUACAACCUGAUGGAGCAGUAGAUUUUGAUUCAUUAAUAUUGUUGAAGUACUUAUUCAUCUUUUGUAAGUUGUACUUAUGGCCUGCCGGUAGCCAUCUUCUAUGCCUCAUGUACACUAUCUUGUUGGAUGCAGGAAGAGACACGUGCCAUGUUCCAUCCAUGCACUCUACACAACCAACCUUUCCCUUGAACUGACCUGAUAAUGAGAAGAGAGCAGGGUAAUCAUUAAUUGUGACAAUAAUAAUUGCUCUCAGUGUGAAUGUCUCUUUGCGGAACACAUCGAUCAUGUCCACACCUACUUCCCAUAGUGUUUGCAUGUCUUGCAUUAAGGGCUCUGGAAAUACAUCCAUAUCAACUCCAGGUUGUGUAGGUAUAUAAAUAAGAAUGGUUAGCGAAAGAUAUUUUCUCCUUUGACAUAACCAUGAAGGAAGGUUGUAUAUUGUCAGGAAUUCAGGAUCAUCGGCCAUGUGUUGUGCGUGCUACUCCUUUCACCAAAUGGAUUCACUCCAUCAGUACUCAGUGCAAACCUUACACUCCUUGGAUCGUCAGCAAAGUCUGGAUAUUUCUUAUCGAAAUCUUUCCAUUGCUUUGCAUCAGCUGGAUGUCGUAACUUUCCUUUCAUCUGAAGCAUGCCGGGUCAUAAGUUCAGCGUCUUCAGGGUUUGCAAACAAACACCUCAAACGAUCAACCACGGGGAGAUACCAUAUCACCAAAGCAGGAAUUCUUCUCAAUGCAUAAUAGUCCACUUCUUCAUUGCUACUAGGCUUUGAGCAUUUGUCUUGUUGAGUCUUUGUUUGGGUCUUCUUUCGCUUCCUCCCUGUAGAAAUAGAGGCUAGAUUCUCUUCCUCCCGAUAAUCAUUGUUCGUCUUGUACCUACUGUCACCAUAGUUUGGACAGUUGUCUAAGUCUUUAUACUGAUCACCCUGAUAUAGAAUACAAUGAUUUCUACAUGCGUGGAUCUUCUCAACACCUAUUGUAAGUGGACUAACUAGCUUCUUUUCAUAGUACAUGUUAGCAGGCACUUUGUUCUCCUUAGGAAGAAGGUCUCCAAGUACACACAAGAAAUCAUUGAAGCUAGCAUCGGACCAACCAUGUCUAGCCUUCAUCGUUAAAAACAGAAGAACAACAUGUAAUGUCGACCACUGUUUGGUACAACCUUUCGACUCGUCAUACAAAGUGUCCUCUGCUUCCUUCGUCAAUGCUUCCAUUCCCUUCAUGAAGAAUAUUAAUGGAUCUACACAACGGUUCAUUAUUGCCUCUAAGAAAUCUGCAUCUUCAACAGCAUGUGUGUUAGCAUGCUGAGUUUCAUUGACAUCAGACGUAUGAGUUUGAUUGACAUCUGGCACAGCAUGAUGAGUUUCAUUGACAUAUGGCAUAGCAUGACAUUCAUUGAGAGGUGGCAUUGGACCCUCCACAUUGAUGUUAGUUGCAGUGUUGUCAGUUGUCCACAUAUAAGGUGCAGAACUACCCUCACCAUGUUUUGUCCAAAUCAAGUAGUCCUCCAUAAAUCCUCUGCAAACCAGAUGGGAAGUAAUUGCUUCUACAUUGUCAAAUACCACAAUAUUUUUGCAGUCUGCGCAUGGACAACAUAUGUUCUUCGCCUUUGUUCUGCGAGCAUGUAUCUUUGCGACAUCUAUAAAUUUUUGGACCUCCACUACAUAUGAUGGGUCCAAUCUUGAUAAGUUGUACAUCCAUAAUGACCUCUCCAUAUUUAGCUAUAAUUAGUUAAGAACAAUGUAGGUCAAUCUAAAAACAAAACUAAUACAACCCUUGAAAAUAGUCUUAACUAAGAUGCUAAUCUCCUUCUAUUAAAUGGAGAUGAAACCUACCCCUUACAGAGUUUACAAUUUAUAGAAUUUAAAUAAUUGUUUAAACUCAUUUUCAUAAUUAUAAGAAACAAUUGUAUAAAAUUUAGGAAUAAUUCAAGGAUUUCUAAGAUAAUCUUUACUUUUUAAUCAAACAUGCCUUAAUAUAACCAUAUUUCAUAAAUUUACACCCAAAGAUUUGAAAAAGUAUUUAUUUGCCAUUUUAUGAUUUUCAACAUUUUAAUGUAUGAAUUUAUAAAGUCUAAUUCAUCUAAAAAAAAGCUAAAACUGAAUCAAAAUUAUAAACUUCAAAAUGUCCACAACACUACUCUAUUGCAUAGAUCUACUCACAAGAAUUCUAAAAAGUAUUUAUUUUCUAUUUUUUUAAUUUUAUACAAUUUACUAUGAAUUUACAUAAAAAUUUAGCUAAAACUCUGUCUCUUGCCCUAUGAACCCUAACCCUAAGCAAGAAUGUAUGAUGAACUCUAGAUCUAGAGCACAUGCAAUACAAGAAUUGAACCAAAGAAUCACUAAAAAAAUAGCAUCAAGGGCACUAACUAACCUUUUGGAAGUUUCUCACCAAAGAAAUGAAGAUCAAAACCUCCCCCUUGGAAACUGGAAUCGCCUGGUCCACCAGUGUGCAGAGCUCACAGGAGUAACUGUUCAUGUCUAAAGGUGGAUGAAGGGCAUUUAUACCAAUCUUAACACAGGUGGCUCAUAAAGUGGGGGUUCUCUAUCAAACCGCCUUGAUAAUGGAAACCUCCCCCCUUGAUAAUUUAUGUAAAUAAAUUCUCACAGGCGGUCCUCUAUACAAACCGCCUGUGUAAAAAUGCACAUUUACAUAGGCAGCCUAAUUACGACAUCUGCCUAUGUUAAUGGUAUUGACACAGGUGGUUGGUAUCGUAAUCCGCCUGUGUAAAUGGACAAUUUACACAGGCAGUUGAAAUAAGAAAACCACCAGUGUAAACUUGUUUACAUAGGCGGUUCGCUUGUUGGGCCUGUUGGGUAUUCUUAACAUCACUACCGAAAGUGGACUUAAUUUUCUAAUUCUAGUAACAGUGCCAAAAAUGCCAAACCUAUCCCUCACACCACUUAAGCCAAGUUGUCAUCCCCAGCAUGACAUGAGAGACGCGGUAUUGAAAUAUGCAAUUGCUCUUCUAAAUAAAUAAUGAAUGGGAUCUACAAGCGCACAGAUUAAUACCGAUGUAGCAUUUUAACCGGGAAGUAUUCCAGGUAUCGUUAUUUAUAUUUUUACCACUGUAAAGGGAUUAACAAUCAUCAAUAUUGAUUACAUAAUAGAAUAUGAGAUUAAGUAUCUAUCAUUGCAUAUAUAAUUGAGAACAUUUAUCUAACUCUUUCGUACAGGGAUAAGUGUCACAUAAAAGAUAUAUGAAAUAAUAAAUAGUGACAAAGAUAAUUAAUCUGAUCAUAACUUAGCCACAUAAUAAAUAUGAUAAGUACCUCAAUUAGAUACUCUAGAAAGUCAUUAGCAUGGUAUUAGAACGAACUACAAGAAUAUUUCCUAAGUUAUUCUCAACUAUAUAGUCUAGCAUUAUCAUAGUUAGUGCAAGCAUACUUAGCAAUCAUUGCGAGACAAGACUACGCCCAUGCAUAGUGAUAUUAGCAAGGUAAAUGAGAAACAUAGCAAUCACUCCCCUGUAAUAAUGUUGGUCUGCCAGCCCAAUACACGAGAGGGGGACUAUAUAAGAAUCAAUGAAGCUGUCACUAUCACGAACUACCCCACGAUCUGACAUAUUGGGUACAAUCGCAGAUAAAUACGGUAUAAGCACCACGCAUACACGAUAUCUAUCAUUUACCCAUGAAUCCGAUGGAUAAACGCUAUACGAUCCUAAGCAUGUAUAUAAAUCCAAUCUAACUAAGCCAAGUAUAUAACUAUGAUAAACUAAGAACAAUAUAAUCUUGAAUAUAAACAAGUAGAGCAAAGUCAUAAGCAAUAUAUUGAAGUAGAACAAAGUCAUAUUCAUAAUAUUGAAGAACAAAGAUAAUUAGAAGAACAAUUAGAAGCACAACUAGAGAAUUACCAAGAAUCCUCUUGACAGAUCCGGAAACCAAUCGAAGAUUGAAUCCUUCAAGUUGUAAUCCUAUGUAGCUAUGCUAAUCUAGAUAUCUAAUUGAUGUGGUGGCUCUAAUCUUGAUCAGGGGCUUCUUUUCCCUUGAGGAAUAAUGAAUUAGGGUUGAGAGGCUCCCUCCUCCAGGGGCCAGGGGUUCUGGUUUUAUAGUCCCUUCAAGUGAAUAUGGGCCAUUGGAUCAAACCGACAUUGAUUGAACGGUUAUCCUUGAUCCUUUAGGUCGGUGGAGAUCUCCCGAGAAACAGAGUCCUGAUUGGCCUCCAAGUCAGGGCGGGCGCCCAGGGCAGGAGGGCGGGCGCCCUGCCUCUGGCCCCGUUCGGCCACCGCUUUCUUCCCGUGGCUUCUGGAGUCUUCUAGAUGUAAGAUAAUUGCGCGGUACGUUAAUAUCUCUAUGUAAUCCCAACGUGUGGGCCUUUCUUCCGUAUUUCCUGAUAACCCCCUGCACAAAAAGACAAACACCAAAACUCGUGGAAUUCUGUCAGAUAAAACCCUAAGUCUAGAUGUUGAUUUCAUUUAGAUCCUUUUCUUUGUUUAUUUGAUAAUUAAAUUUGAUACUUAAGGACUGUCAACAAACUCCCCCAAGCUUACCUGUUGCUCGUCCCUGAGCAAGGAUAGAUUAGAAGUUGCUGCAAUACUUUUAAAAAUUGAUGGUACACAUGCUUUUAAAUAAGAUCUCAUCUCUGAGUUAGAGUAAACUGUCAAGACUUAAAACUUAUUCAUUAUACCUUUCACCAUGGGACUUGUAACCGUCACUUCUGUCUUGAGUAGUUAAAAGAUAGAACAGUCUAGUCAAGUGCCAUGUCUCUUAUUCUUGAUCAGCUAUAGCUCUAGAGUUUUUGCAGAUUUUCAAAUAAAACUCAGAGAUUCCUUGUAUGACUCUCUCAGAUCUCUCUUUUGUGGUAUUUCUGGAUCCUUACCAAUGCAUUGAUAGUAUAUGCCUUCUCUCAAAAAGUAUGUAGUAUUUGUGGUAUAAAGCAUAGUGACAUUGUCUUCUCUCUCACCCUACUCUAAUAAGGCUUUAAUAUCUGGAGCUCAUAGGUGGGAGAUAAAGUAUACAUACUUACAAGACAUUUAUUGCAUAGUCAAACCAUGGAUCCAAAGAAAUAAGUCAAUAAGUUUAAUCAAGAUGUGCAUGUGUGGCGAAUGAAUGGUAUAUGGUAAUGAUGGUGAUAACAAUGGUGAAAGUCUAGAUCUACUUUUGCUCUUUUAAGGGGGUACAUACCUUCUUUGCUUUUUGAAACUUUAUGAGGAGAAUGAGAUGCUCUAUAUUUUUCUUUUCUCUCAGGUGGGUAUCUUGUACCCCUAAUUCUACUGUCGGACACUUGUCCAUUUUUACCUCUCGUUUCACUUUUCUUUUCUUUCGAGGUUUCGAGCACUUGCCCCUUUUUAUUUCCUCGUAUCUUUUUUCUCUUUUUUUAGAGCACUCAUCUCUUGAGAUAAUGUAGCAAGUGGUAGUAACAAGAUAACUUAAGUAUUUAUUUCACAGGGAAAAACAGAAAUAUUUUUGGCUAUUCUCUCCCGGAUUAGGAGUAGAAUAUUUUUAGAUGGUUCCGGAGAUGAAAAUGGGUGGAUAUAUGUGGAUGGUACUUCCGGAGUAGAAGUAGCAUAUAUGAGUGAACGUGCAAGUGAAAUCUUGAUUUUAACUACAUGACAAGCUCCUAAGGGUCUACACAGCUUGACCACACUCAAUGCUCAUAAGCAGUAAAUAGUAAAUGUGUGGCUCAAAGUCUAGCAAGCAUUUAUAUAUGGUUGUGGUAGGAAUUUAAACUCUCAGCAUACAGGAACUCAUCAUGCCGCAUUUUAAAGAUUUUUAAAGAUAAAAUUCUCUAGAAUUCUAGCAUCUCUAGGAACAGAUAAAUAGCAGCUCAACCUUCCCAUAUCGUAUCCAUUAACAACUUAGACUUCAGAUCAAGUUUUCAUCCCACAAUUUAGGUCUAGAGCAAGCUUUAAAUUAUAACAGUUAUAUCUAAACUUGAGAGAGAACUUAAAAUGUGCAAAUUAGGCAGAGCAACUAUUCAUCAUAUCCAUGCUAGAGUUUUAUUUAGAUACAGCUUAUCAUAGCCACUUUAUUUAUUUAUUAAACACACUAAGAAAAAUAUAUAAGCAUAAAAUCUUUAUUUGGUUUUUUCAUAGUUAUGUAUAUUUAUAUUUUAAUAUAGUAUAAGUAUAAAGAUAGAUAGAUAGAAAUACUUAUCGGGAUAAAUGGGGGUGCUCUCCCCCAAGCUGAAUUUUGACGUAAUUUCUCUUGAUGUAGCUAGCAGGUGGCAGAGGUGUAUUUGAAAGUCAGCAGCAUUCUGACAUGAAUGUCCUCCAUCUGCUAGUCUUCUUGAUUCUUGAAUUCUGUGGAGCUCAAAUAGACAACAAAGCUUGUGGAACUGAUUAAGUGUUAGCAUAAAUAUCUAGCCUUUAUCAUGUUGAGUCUCCUUAAUAAUUAUUACUCUCUAUUUUUUUAUAUUUUCAUUUUAUAAAGUAGAAAAGAAAUAUUUAUUUUAUUUUUAUGCCACCAUAGUGAAUGUACUUAUGGGUUUUAUGCCACUCGUAUACUCACAUGGAGCUUACUAUUUUUUAACAUUUUUAUUUUCUUUUUAGGAUAAUAUGAACAUAAUUAACUAAGUAAUCUAGUUGAUAUAAUUGAAAGGGAAAGGAUAACUACCAAGUUUACCUCUUGGCAAGGCGUUCGGUGUUUUUAAGUCCUCCAAACGGGACUCUCUAUUUUCUCAAUUGUCCUGGGAUUCGUUGGGUGGCGGAGUCAGUACUUCCGGUGGCGCCUCCUCUUCAUGUAUAGUUAUCUUCUCUUUCCAUACCUGACUCAGUGCCAUGGUCUCCUCUGGAUAAUUCUGUUUAAACUCUACGUCUUCUGACCUUACCACUUCUCCUUCAUAGUAUGCCCAUCCAUCCUUGAUGAUCUGCCUCCUCUGGUUGCGGUUGCGUCGUUUUCUAACCUGCUUAGAUUCUUCAAAGAUGUAGUUAGGGUCAGUAAAAUUACGGCGUACCUUCUCUGAGGGGAAGUGCAUAUGGACUUCUCCGGUUCCAAUGUAGAUGAUUGCUUUAACGGUGCUGAGGAACGGUCUUCCAAGGAUGAUUGGUGGAUCGUACUCGUCUUCUCCCAUGUCAAUAACCUGAAAGUCUGUGUAGACAAAGUGAUCGUCUAUCUUGACAGGGACAUCAGUUAAUGUUCCUUUAACUUCUCAAAACGUCUAAUCUGCCAUCUGGAGCUGAAUGUAUGUUGGUUUUAGGGGCAUGGUUCCGAACAAGAGCCGAUAUGUGACUGCGGCCAUUAUGUUGACGCCUGAUCCGGUGUCACAAGUCAUUUGUAGAAGCUGUAUCCAUUUAUGGAGCAAUAGAUGCUUGGCAUUCCUGGGUCAUCCUUCUUGGUCAGAAACGGUGACUUAAGUUGGUGAUCUUGGCCUCCAUGAACUACAGUGACCAUCUUAGCUGACUCGGUCCACACUUGUUUGUUCCUGUUCCUCCUGUUGGUCCUCUUCCUUGACUCACGUCUGGAUUGAUCUGGGAUCGGUGUAGUCUUGUUCUUGAAGAAAAACGUCUCCUUCCUCCCUUUAUUGUAGAAACUGAUCUUGGCAGCACUGGCAUAGAUGACAGCUCCCGAGGUGUUUAAGAAUGGCCUCCCUAAGAUGAUAGGUGCUCUCUCAUCAUUACCGGUCUCUAUCACCACGAAGUCUGCUAGGCCAUAUAAGGUACCAACUCGGACACAAAGGUUCUUCAAUAUUCCUUUUGGAAAACUUAAUGCCUGAUCUGCAAACUACAAACACAUGGUUGUUUCUAAUAAAGGAUAUGUAAAGAAUUUUUCAUAGAGUACCCUGGACAUAAUGUUGACGCUGGAGCCAAAGUCACAGAGUGCUUCUGGGACAUCCACCAUGCCGAUGGAGAUCGGGAUGACGGGGCGUCCUGGAUCGCCUCUCUUGACCGGCAGAAGGUCAGUAGUGAAUUCAGUGACGGGGUUACUCCAAUUACCUGCAUCAAACAUGUCUACAAGAUUUGCAGAUUCUAAUCCUUCCGGUUGUGAUGGUAUACCAGGGUUAGUAGUAGGAACAGCAGCAGCUAUUUGAUUUAACUGAGAUUCAAUCAUUUUAUUAAAGCUAAUUUGAUUCUUGAUGGCAGUAGAGAAAUUAUCCAUUCUGUUAUUUAUAUUUUCUAGCAUUUUAUCAUUAGAUGCCAAUUUCUUAGAUAGAUUAUCCAUUAGCUUUCCUUGAUUAGACACUAACUCUCUCAAAGGUGGAAAAUUAUUAUUAUUGUUGUAAGAAUUGUUACCUUGAUAAUUACCUGAGUAGUUAGGCCUCUGUUGAUUCCAACCUUGAUUUUGUUGAGGACGGUUGUAGUAGUAGUUGUUGUUAUUGUUGAUGUAGUUCACAUCCUCAAGUAUCUCAGGGCAGUGAUUGCCUGAGUGUCUAGUAUCUCCACACUCCUCACAAGUCAUGUGAGAGUCGUAGAUGUGCAUAACUUCUUUCUUAUCUCCAGUUCUAUCAUCGAGCUUCUUCAUGAGCAGGUCUAGCUUUGCAGACAGCAUGUCUACCUCCUUGAGCUGAUGCAUACCUCCACCUCUCUUGUGUGUUUGGGUCCUUUCUUCAUUCCAGCCUUGAUUGGACGCCAUCUUCUCCACAAGAGCUGUGGCUUGUGGUAUAAUAAGUGAUAAGAAUGCUCCUCCAGCUGCAGCAUCCAUGGUCUCUCGGGCACUGUUGCUGAAAACUUGUAAUCUUCCCACGGAGAGCAUUGGUCUUGCCCGUGGGAAAGAAUUUAGCCAGGAACUUUGUUGAGCAGAGUGCCCACGUAGUAUUCUUCUCCUUUGUAGCGUAGAACCACUACUUCGCUCUUCCUAACAGUGAGAAUGAGAAGAGGCGAAGUAGUAUAGCAUCUAUGGGGACUCUUGAUAUAGUAAAUGUGUUGCAAAUCUCCAGGAAGUGUUGGAGAUGAGCACUAGCAUCUUCGUGUGCCUUCCCACAGAACUGGUUGGAUUGCACCAUGUUGAUAAGUCCAGGCUUGAGCUCAAAGUUGCCGUCGAUAUAUAUGGAUGGUACUUCCGGAGUAGAAGUAGCAUGUAUGAGUGAACGUGCAAGUGAAUCUUGAUUUAACCACAUGACAAGCUCCUAAGGGUCUACAAAGCUUGACCACACUUAAUGCUCAUAAGUGUUGACGGUCCUUAAUGCUCACACUUAACCAUCAACUAAUCAUGGAAAAGGAUCCAAAUGCAACCAACACCUAGACUUAGGGUUUUAUCUGACAGAAUUCCACGAGUUUUGGUGUUUGUCUAUUACUGCAGGGGGUUAUCAGGAAAUAUGGAAGAAAGGCCCACACGUCGGGUUUACAUAGAGAUAUUGACGUGCUGCGCAAUUUUCUAUCAUCUAGAAGACUCCAGAAGCCACGGGACCGAAGCGGAGGCCGAGAGGACACAGGGACAGGGCGCCCGCCCUCAGCCAGAGUCCAAUCAGGACUCUCUUUCGGGAUAUUGCUCCACCGACCUAAAGGAUCAAGGAAAACCACACGAUCAAUGUCGGUUUGAUCCAACGGCCCAGAUUCACUUGAAGGGACUAUAAAACCAGACCCCCCUGGCCCCUGGAGAUCAUACCUCUUCUACAGAAUCAAAGUUAGGGUUUCAAUUCUUCAUCCAAGUAGAGAGGAUCCCUCUAGUUCUUCUAGUUCUACCUCUAGUUCAUCUAGAUCUAGUUCUAGUUCAUCUAGUUCUAGUUCUAGUUCUUCUAGUUCUAGUUCUAGUUCUAGUUAGUUCUAGUUGUAAUCUAGAGAAUAGGGAGAGAGAAGAGGAGAGCGGAGGAGGAGCCGGAUCUGUCGGAUCUUCCUCAACAUUAUACUUUUGCAGCAUCUGGUUCGUUCUUCAUCGUUCUCCAGGUUCUUCAAUUCAUAAUUCCUGAGUUCUUUAAUUACUUUUAUUUACAUUCAAGUUAUUUAUUGGAUUCCCGCUUGCAUCAAGUGCUCUAGUCUUUGUAACGCUAGAGUAGUAAUUAAUAGAUUAGACGUGGUGUUUAGUUUUGCAAUUACCUGGAAUUGCACCCAAUCCUGCGGAUUGUUGUGGUAGCCUUAGGGUAGUGACAGCCCUAACGGUCGACGUAUUCCACCACGUUCGGAUCGGUGUUUGUAGGACCGUAGUCAGACCUUCCUAGCCCCCUUCUCAUCUCUUUCUGUGGUUAGUGCUCUGAUGUCCCGAUAUAGAUAAUCUUGAAGUAAUUCUUGAUUCUUAGAUCAACUAGAGAACUCUCAGGAAACUUCCUCUCUUCCCACCAAAAAUAAUUAUAUAGUUAUCCUUGGGCGAUCUUGAUUCUUAAUUAGUACACUCACGUUCUCUGUGGAAAAUCGAUACUCUGGAAUACUCCCGGGUGAAAGCUACAUCGGUAUCCGUGCGCUUGCGGAUUUUUCUGUUUGCGUUUAAAAUACCCAACAAGCUUUCUGGCGUCGUUGCCGGGGAACGGUAGCUGUGCUAGUUUCGAACCAAGUCGUCCGUGUAUCCUUUUUAUUUUCCUUUUUUACCACACUCACCAUAUCAUUUUCACCAUACCACAUGGAUUUCACUCUAAGCAUUAAUGAGCAUGGAAUUUAUUUCAUAGCCACUUCAUUUACUCCAUGCUCAUAUGCAACAUCUUCACAAUCCAUUGGUUUUUCCAACAUCACCACAUUCGAGAUCUCCAACCCCCUCAUCCUUUCUAUUUAUAAAAACUUUAAAAGGGCGGUUGUCGAUGCAUAUGUCUAUAAUAAAUUUUGCAGAUCUCGUUGAGUUGAUCUUGAUAUAGGUCAGCGUUGGAGGGGAAACCACUUCACUGACAUAAAUUGAUGGUUUCCCAAGGACAAGCUUAGUGUCCUAAAACAAGCACUGAUCAGAUCGUAACAUAAGUUUUUAAUUAUUUGCAACACUACCUUGUGUAUUGAGCAUAUAAGGAUAAUUGUAAAAAAAAAUUCCUUCGGGUUUUCUUGUCACUAACCUUUCUAGGAUUGGAGCAAGAAGAUCGGAUGAAUGACAAGCACAAGGUAUGUACAACCAAUCAUCAUACAACAUUGAAUUAAAUUCAUCCAAACUUGAAAUUUGCAAAAUUCAAGCUUGGGGGAGUGCUUUAUAUAAAAACAUCAUUUGCCAUGUUGCUAUGUUGGUUGUCCCUACCUUUGAGACAUGCUCAAUUUGUUAAAUAGUAAUCACACUACUUCAUCUCCACUUGAGUAGAUCUCUAUAAAUGCUCUCAUGCGACCUUUAUUUGCUUUAGUAUAUGUCUAGGUUUGGAGUAGUUUCAUUUAUCUCUUAAUUAAGCAUGGUGCUUAGUUUAGGAAUGAUGCUCUUACUUCCAAGGGGUUUUAAAUUAAGCAUGGUGCUUAGGUUAAAAUGCCCUCCUAAAUCAAAUUAGACAUGGAGUCUAGUUUGGUUAUUGAACUAAAAACUGCUUGUGUAGACAUUGGUAUAUUUUGUUGGACUAACCCCUGCAGGAAAACUUUCAAUAUCGACCUGGGAAGUCCUGAGAUAAACUCACAUUGGAGACAAAGAGAGACACACAUGAAGUUUAAUAAUUUACACAAGGAAGGCAUAGCUCACAAGAGAUGAUCCAUGGAGGUGCCACAAACACGAUGCACAACCGCUAAGAGAGGAAAGCUUCCACAAGGUGAUACUGUACCACCAUUCUUCAAGUAAGGUAACAUUUUAAGGUACUUGACUAUCACUUCUAUAAGCUUCUCCUUGGUUCUGGCAUUCACAUGAAUAAAAGAGACAAACAUGUAUGAUUUACAACUCUAGAUUAACCAACCCAAUCGAUUCAACAUGUUUAGUCCUUCCACCUUUGUGAUCCCAUACUCCUAAUAUGAGCUAAAAUGUUGCACAUGCAAUCUUUGGAAGAUAUAUAAAAAGAAGAUAAGUAUAGAUAGAUUAUCUUUCCAUUAGGUUGAGUAAUCUAAUCUGACAAAUGUUUUAAAUGCUACACUCAUGAUCUUAUUAUCCAUCAACUUUGUUUUGCUCACUAUGCUUAAGGAUAGAGAAGAAUAAAUACACUUUUGGUUCUGUUGGUGUUUUUCACCAACAGGGCCCAUGCACUUGAUCUCUGCCUUGUCUCUAUGAGCAGGUACACUUUGAGCAAAAUAUGAAGGACUUUUACAACUCCUAGACUCCACCAAGUGAAGAACCUAGAUCUACAAGCACAAACACACUGGAGAUACUGGACACUCAUGCAAACACUGCCCUAAGAUGCUUGAGGAUGUAACUACUGGAGUAACCCCGUUGUGGAAAUAAUUACUGACCUUCUGCCGGUCAAGGGAGACAAUCUAGGAGGCCCCGUCAUCCCAAUCUCCAUCGGCAUGGUGGACUUCCUAGAAGCACUCUGUGACUUUGGCUCCAGCGUCAACUUUAUACCUAGGGGAAGCCAUUCCUGAACACCUCGGGAGCUGUCAUCUACGCUAGUGCUGCCAAGAUCAGUUUCUACAUCAAGGGGAAGAAGGAGACGUUUUCCUUCAAGAAACAAGACUACACAAAUCCUAGAGCAAUCCCGACAUGAACCAAGGAAGAGGACCAACAGGAGGAACAAGAACAAGCAAAUGUGUACCGAGUCAGCUAAGAUGGUCACUGCAGCUCAAGGAGGUCAAGAUCGUCAACUCAAAUCACCUUUCUUGAUCAAGAAGGACGACCCUGGUGUCCCAAGCAUCGAGUGCACAAUCAACAGAUAUUCUUUUCAGAAGACACUCUACGACACCGGAUCUAACGUCAACAUAAUGGCCGCAGUCACUUAUCAGCUCCUAUAUGGAACCAUGUCCCUACAACCAACAUACAUUCAGCUUCAGAUGGCAGAUCAGACAUUCUGAAAGAUUGAAGGUUAUUGACAUGGGAGAAGACGAGUACGAUCCACCCAUCAUCAUUGGAAGACCGUUCUUUAGCACCAUUAAAUCAAUCAUAUACAUUGGAACCAGAGAAGUCCACAUGCACUUCCCCUCAGAGAAGGUACGCCACUGUUUUACUGACCCUAACUAUAUAGUUGAAGACUCUAAGCAGGUCAGGACAAGAAGACGACGACGCAACCGCAACCAGAGGAGGCAAAUCAUCAAGGACGGAUGGGUAGACUAUGAAGGAGAAGAUGUAAGGUCUGAAGACAUAAAGCUUGAACAGAACUGUCCUGAGGAGACCGUAGCACCGAGUCAGGUGUGGAGAGAGAAGAUAGUUAUACACGAAGACCAGGCACCGCCGGAACCACCGACUACGCCAUCCACCGAAUCCCAGGACGAUUGAGAAAACAGAGAGUCUCGUUCGGAGGACUAAAAAAACACCGAACACCUUGCCAAGAGGUAAACUUGGUAGUUAUCUUUCUCCUUUCAAUUAUUUCAAAUAGUUUGCUUAGUUAAUCAGGUUCACAUCAUCUUAAAAAGAAAAUAAAAAUGUUAAAAAUAGUAAGCCCCAUGUGAGUAUGCUCAUGGCAUAAAACCCAUAAGUACAUUCACUGUGGUGGCAUAAAAAUAAAAUAAAUAUAUUCUUGUCCUAUAAAAAUAAAAAUAUAAAAAUAAGAUUAUGAUCCUACUAAACAGAGUAAUAUUUAUUGAGGAGGCUCAACAUGAUAAAGGCUAGAUAUUUAUGCUAACAUUUAACCAGUUCCACAAAGCUUUGUUGUCUAUUUGAGCUCCACAGAAUUUAAGGAUCAAAGAAGACUAGGAGACGGAGGACAUCCUAAUCGCUGUCAGAGUGCUGCCGACAUUCAAAUACACCUCCGCCACCUGCUAGCUACAUCAAAAGGAAUUAUGUCAAAAUCCAGCUUGGGGGAGAGCACCCCCAUUUAUCCAGCUAAGUAUUCUACUCACGUUUAUACUUUACUCUAAUAAUAAAAAGAUGCAUAAUCAUAUAAACCCAAAUAAAGAUUUUGUGCUUAUAUACAUAUAUCUUUGCUUAGUUUGCUAAAUAAAUAAAUAAAUAAAGUUUGCUAUGAACCCUCAUGAUAAGCUCUCACAUGGAUAUGAUGAGUAGUUGCUCUGCCAUGACUAGUUCUUAAAAUUGAAAUCUCUCUCAAGUUUAGGCAUGACUGUUAUUAAUUAAGAUUUGCUCUAAACCUGAACUUGUGGGGAGAGUACUUGAUCUAAAGUCUAAGUCGUUAACGGAUAUGAUAUGGGAAGGUUGAGCUGCUGUUUAUCUGUUUCUAGAGAUGCUAGAAUUCUGGAGAAUUUAUCUUUAAAAAAAUCUUUAAAAUGUUGCAUGAUGAGUUCCUGUAUGAUGAGAGUUUAAAUUCCUACCACAGCCAUAUAUACAUGCUUGCUAAACUUUGAGCCACACAUUUACUUUACUGCUUAUGAGCAUUGAGUGUGGUCAAGCUUUGUAGACCCUUAGGAGCUUGUCAUGUGGUUAAAUCAAGAUUCACUUGCACGUUCACUCAUACAUGCUACUUCUACUCCGGAAGUACCAUCCAUAUAUAUCCAUUUCCAUCUCCAGAACCACCCAAAAAUAUUCUACUCCUAAUCCGGGAGAGAAUAGCCAAAAAGAUUAUCAUAUUCCUGUUUUUCCCCUGUGAAAUAAAUGCUCAAGUUAUCUUGUUACUACCACUUGCUAUAUUAUCUCAUGAGAUGAGUGCUCUAAAAAAAGAAAAAAAAUAUAUAUACGAGGAAAUAAAAAGGGGCAAGUGCCCGGAACCUCGAAGAAAAGAAAAAGUGAGACGAGAGGUAAAAAUGGACAAGUGUCCGACAGUAGAAUUAGGGGUACAAGAUACCCACUUGAGAGAAAAGAAAAAAAAAUAUAGAGCAUCUCAUUCUCCUCAAAAAGUUUCAAAAGAGCAAGAAAGGUAUGUAUUCCCUCAAAAGAGCAAAAGUAGAAUUAGACUUUCACCAUUGUUAUCACCAUCAUCACCUUACACCAUUCAUUCGCUACACAUGCACAUCUUGAUUUGACUUAUUGACUUGUUCUUCUGGAUCCAUGGUUUGACUAUGCAAUAAAUGUCUUGUAAGUAUGUAUUAGCUGUCUCCCACCUAUGAGCUCCAGAUAUCAAAAGCCUUAUUAGAGUAGGGUGAGAGAGAAGGCAAUGUCACUAUGCCUUAUACCACAAAUACCACAUACUUUGAGAGAAGGCAUAUACCAUUACUGCCUUGGUAAGGAUCCAGAAAUACCACAAAAGAGAGACUAGAGAGAGUCAUACAAGGAAUCUCUGAGUUUUAUUUGAAAAUCUGCAAAAACUCCAGAGCUAUAGUUAAUCGAAGAACAAGAGACAUGGCGCUUGACUAGACCGUUCUAUCUUUUAACUACUCAAGACUCAAGUGACGGUUGCAAGCCCCAUGGUGGAAGGUAAUAUGAGUAAGUUUAAAUCUUAACAGUUACCCUAACCCAGAGAUGAGAUCUUGUUUGAAUGCAUGUAUAUCUUUAAGGUAUGAAACCACUGCAGAAACUCUUGAGUUCAUCUUUGCUUAGGGACGAGAAAAGGUUAAGCUUGGGGGAGCUUGUUGACGGUCCUUAAUGCUCACAUUUAACCAUCAACUAAUCCUGGAAAAGGAUCCAAAUGCAACCAACACCUAGACUUAGGGUUUUAUCUGACAGAAUUCCACGAGUUUUGGUGUUUGUCUAUUUCUGCAGGGGGUUAUCAGGAAAUAUGGAAGAAAGGCCCACACGUCGGGUUUACAUAGAGAUAUUGACGUGCUGCGCAAUUUUCUAUCAUCUAGAAGACUCCAGAAGCCACGGGACCGAAGCGGAGGCCGAGAGGACACAGGGACAGGGCGCCCGCCCACCUUUCCUGGGCGCCCGCCCUCAGCCAGAGUCCAAUCAGGACUCUCUUUCGGGAUAUUGCUCCACCGACCUAAAGGAUCAAGGAAAACCACACGAUCAAUGUCGGUUUGAUCCAACGGCCCAGAUUCACUUGAAGAGACUAUAAAACCAGACCCCCCUGGCCCCUGGAGAUCAUACCUCUUCUACAGAAUCAAAGUUAGGGUUUCAAUUCUUCAUCCAAGUAGAGAGGAUCCCUCUAGUUCUUCUAGUUCUACCUCUAGUUCAUCUAGAUCUAGUUCUAGUUCAUCUAGUUCUAGUUCUAGUUCUUCUAGUUCUAGUUCUAGUUAGUUCUAGUUGUAAUCUAGAGAAUAGGGAGAGAGAAGAGGAGAGCGGAGGAGGAGCCGGAUCUGUCGGAUCUUCCUCAACAUUAUACUUUUGCAGCAUCUGGUUCGUUCUUCAUCGUUCUCCAGGUUCUUCAAUUCAUAAUUCCUGAGUUCUUUAAUUACUUUUAUUUACAUUCAAGUUUUUUAUUGGAUUCCCGCUUGCAUCAAGUGCUCUAGUCUUUAUAACGCUAGAGUAGUAAUUAAUAGAUUAGACGUGGUGUUUAGUUUUGCAAUUACCUGGAAUUGCACCCAAUCCUGCGGAUUGUUGUGGUAGCCUUAGGGUAGUGACAGCCCUAACGGUCGACGUAUUCCACCACGUUCGGAUCGGUGUUUGUAGGACCGUAGUCAGACCUUCCUAGCCCCCUUCUCAUCUCUUUCUGUGGUUAGUGCUCUGAUGUCCCGAUAUAGAUAAUCUUGAAGUAAUUCUUGAUUCUUAGAUCAACUAGAGAACUCUCAGGAAACUUCCUCUCUUCCCACCAAAAAUAAUUAUAUAGUUAUCCUUGGGCGAUCUUGAUUCUUAAUUAGUACACUCACGUUCUCUGUGGAAAAUCGAUACUCUGGAAUACUCCCGGGUGAAAGCUACAUCGGUAUCCGUGCGCUUGCGGAUUUUUCUGUUUGCGUUUAAAAUACCCAACAAUAAGCAGUAAAGUAAAUGUGUGGCUCAAAGUUUAGCAAGCAUGUAUAUAUGGCUGUGGUAGGAAUUUAAACUCUCAUCAUACAGGAACUCAUCAUGCAACAUUUUAAAGAUUUUUUUAAAGAUAAAUUCUCCAGAAUUCUAGCAUCUCUAGCAACAGAUACAUAGCAGCUCAACCUUCCCAUAUCAUAUCCGUUAACGACUUAGACUUUAGAUCAAGUACUCUCCCCACAAGUUCAGGUUUAGAGCAAAUCUUAAUUAAUAACAGUCAUGCCUAAACUUGAGAGAGAUUUUAAUUUUAAGAACUAGUCAUGGCAGAGCAACUACUCAUCAUAUCCAUGUGAGAGCUUGCCAUGAGGGUUCAUAGCAAACUUUAUUUAUUUAUUUAUUUAGCAAACUAGGCAAAGAUAUAUGUAUAUAAGCACAAAAUCUUUAUUUGGGUUUAUAUAAUAAUGCAUCUUUUUAUUAUUAGAGUAAAGUAUAAACGUGAGUAGAAUACUUAGCUGGAUAAAUGGGGGUGCUCUCCCCCAAGCUGGAUUUUGACAUAAUUCCUUUUGAUGUAGCUAGCAGGUGGCGGAGGUGUAUUUGAAUGUCGGCAGCACUCUGACAGCGAUUAGGAUGUCCUCCGUCUGCUAGUUUUCUUUGAUCCUUAAAUUCUGUGGAGCUCAAAUAGACAACAAAGCUUUGUGGAACUGGUUAAGUGUUAGCAUAAAUAUCUAGCCUUUAUCAUGUUGAGCCUCCUCAAUAAAUAUUACUCUGUUUAGUAGGAUCAUAAAUUUAUUUUUAUAAUUUUAUUUUUAUAGGACAGGAAUAUAUUUAUUUUAUUUUUAUGCCACCACAGUGAAUGUACUUAUGGGUUUUAUGCCAUGAGCAUACUCACAUGGGGCUUACUAUUUUUAACAUUUUUAUUUUCUUUUUAAGAUGAUAUGAACCUGAUUAACUAAGUAAACUAUUUUAAAUAAUUGAAAAGCAAAAGAUAACUACCAAGUUUACCUCUUGGCAAGGCAUUCGGUGUUUUUAAGUCCUCCGAAUGGGACUCUCUGUUUUCACAGUCAUCCUGGGAUUCACUUGAUGGCGUAGUCGGUGGUUCCCGCAGCGCCUGCUCUUCAUGUAUAACUAUCUUCUCUCUACACACCUGACUCGGUGCUACGGUCUCCUCAGGACAGUUCUGAUCAAGCUGUAUGUCUUCAGACCUUACUACUUCUCCUUCGUAGUCUGCUCAUCCGUCCUUGAUGAUUUGCCUCCUCUGGUUGCGGUUGCGUCAUCUUCUUCUUGUCCUGACCUGCUUAGAGUCUUCAACUAUAUAGUUAGGGUCAGUAAAACAGCGUCGUACCUUCUCAGAGGGGAAAUACAUGUGGACUUCUCUGGUUCCAAUGUAGAUGAUUGCUUUAACGGUGUUGAGGAAUCUCAUUAGUACCAGUCUCUAUCACCAUGAAGUCUGCUGGGGCGUACAAGGUACCAACUCGGAUGCAGAAGUUCUUCAAUAUUCCCUUCGGGAAACUUAGUGUCUGAUCUGCAAGCUGCAAACACAUGGUUGUUUCUAGGAAAGGAUGUGUAAAGAAUUUUUCAUAGAGUACCCUGGGCAUAAUAUUGACGCUGGAGCCAAAGUCGCAGAGUGCUUCUGGGAAGUCUACCAUGCCGAUGGAGAUCGGGAUGACGGGGCGUCCUAGAUUGUCUCUCUUGACCGGCAGAAGGUCAGUAAUUAUUUCCACAACGGGGUUACUCCAGUAGUUACGUCCUCAAGCAUCUCAGGGCAGUGAUUGCCUGAGUGUCCAGUAUCUCCAGUGUGAUCUAGGUUCUUCACUUGGUGGAGUCUAGGAGUUGUAAAACUCCUUCAUAUUUUGCUUGAAGUGUACCUGCUCAUAGAGACAAGGCAGAGAUCAAGUGCGUGGGCCCUGUUGGUGGAAAACACCAACAGAACCAAAAGUGUAUUUGUUCUCUCUAACCUUAAGCAUAGUGAGCAAGACAAAGUUGAUGGAUAAUAUGAUCAUGUGUAGCAUUUAAAGUAUUUGUCAUAUCAGAUCGCUCAACCUAAUGGAAAGAUAAUCUAUCUAUACUUAUCUCUUUUUUUUAUAUAUCUUCCAAAGAUUGUGUGUGCAACAUUUAGUGUGGGAUCACAAAGGUGA
Molecule: long non-coding RNA, 48589 nt
Filed under: Sorghum bicolor (sorghum)
Lineage: Eukaryota; Viridiplantae; Streptophyta; Magnoliopsida; Poales; Poaceae
Description: long non-coding RNA (SBIC_LNC013865)
Source: RNAcentral